RNAcentral lists this long non-coding RNA (51109 nucleotides) under Glycine max (soybean). Its description in RNAcentral is "long non-coding RNA (GMAX_LNC000713)". Lineage: Eukaryota; Viridiplantae; Streptophyta; Magnoliopsida; Fabales; Fabaceae. The record is from RNAcentral.
GGAGGAAAGUAUUUAAAAUAUGGUGGCGACGGCGCGGUAGGAGUAGGCUCAUAAAUGGGAGUAGGAGGAGGAAGUGGCUUGUAAAUGGGAGUGGGAGGUGGAAGUGGCUUGUAAAUGGGAGUGGGAGAAGGUGUUUUUUCCUUUGGGGGGCAUGGUUUAUUCACAACUGGAGAUGGAGUACUAAUAGGAGGUUUCUUAUAUGGUGCUGGGGGUUUCUUAUACACUGGCACUGGAGGAAGAGGUUCCUUAUAGACUGGCACAGGGGGAGGGAGAGAGUAGUCAUCUUUAGGAGGGUAAGGGAAUUCUGGGUGGUGUUUGAAGAAAUGCCAAAAGAAGGCUGAAGUGCACAAUGCUGAUGAGAAUCUGAGUUUUCCAGCAGCAGGUGCAAGGGUGUGUGUGUCUUCAGAGACUGACCUGGUCACAAUUUUGGAGUUUCCGUGGGAAGGGCAAGGUUCAGCAGAUGCACUAUGCAACUGGGCAUAGCAAUCUUCUUUUAGCUCACCAUCUUCAACCAUGUCCUGUGGAAGUGAUACUUUGAAGUUUCCAUAUUCAUCAAGCGCACCUGCCCCUCUCGUUCUGAAGUGUCCAUGUCGUGACUUGCAAUCUACCGUCACACGUAACCCUACACGCAAGUAACGCAAACGAUUCUCAUAUAGACUAGAAUUUGGCUUCGUACAAUAGAUGAUGAUUAAAUAAAAACCAAUAGUUUAUUGACAUUAUUCCACUAAUCAUAUAUAUAACAUAUUCAUGUACUGCUAUGACACAAAGUACCUGAGAAAGCGUGGUUAUUCUUAAUAUUGUUCUGCCUGCAGUCUGCGCAUUCUCCUAGGCCAACUACCUCCACUGUCCUGUGCUCUUCAUUGUUGAAUCCUGUUACCACAAAAAACACAGACAACAACCAGAAGCACACUAGUGCUCCUUGGCGCCCGAUGAAAAUUUGCAUUGGGAAUUGCAGUUACUGAUCCCAAUGCCAAUAAACUAGAACAGCAGAUAAGGCAGACUUGGAACUGAGAGAUGAAGUAGAUUGAGAUUCAUCAUAAGCUUAAUUUAUAACAAUCAUAUUCGUAAAUGGAUGGCUCACUGACUCUGAAAUUAAUCACCCCACGUAGUCACGUGGGGCCGGAGACCGUUAUGUGACUUGGAUGCUUAAAGGGAAAUGAUAUUAACGUGCAAACCAGCAGCAAAUCACUAAAUGUAUCUUUAUGUGCAAUAUCUGUCUCAACCUACCAAAAUAGCUCUAAUAAGUCACUUAUUCAAGUUACUUAAUUGUUCAUCUUUUUUCUUGCAGCAAUAAAUUCCCGGCUAUGUUACUACUAUUACAUUGGUCAGGACUAAGGAGCCCAAGUAGUUUCCAAUUUAUCCUUUAUUAUUAGUUAAAAUGUAUGUAAAUCCCAUUAAGUGAGACAUCUACUCUACAUUGGAAAGGUUUCUUAAUUAUAAUUUGUUGCUAAUCAACAUGUGUUGUGUCUCAAAGAAAAAGGGUUGAUAUAUAUAUAUAUAUAUCUAGAAAAAGAAAGAAUAUUGAUAAAAAAAAAAAGGGGUGGGGGGCUAGUACAAAUUUAUGUUCCAUUGAUUUGUACAUUUGAGAGCGUUAAGAGUAACCACCAUCCCCUUUGCGUUUCACCACUAAUUUCAUACCUCAACCAACUCAUUUUACGGGACCCUAUCAAAUUUAGAGAUUCAAUCUGUUCCCAUAUGACUACACAUGCAUCUGCUAUCCAAAAAAUUGAUGCCAGCAGCAGACAUUAGUUAUUGUCAUUACUAAUUAGUUAAUCUUUAAUACGCUAGUCUCAUUUAAACCAUGAAGAAAAACAGAAAGCGCUCGAACUAUGAAAUUGCUGCGAUUUUCAGCGGAAAUACAUCAAUACUACAACAACAUCAUUACUGUGUAAUUGAAUAUUGGGGCGAGUGAAGGUUUCCGAUGAUACAAAUACAUUCAACUUUAUUACAUACUGCUACAAAUGUUGUGUUAAAGCAAUCGUCAUCGCUGAAUUCACCACCCAAUGGUUGAGUUCUUGGUGUGCUUUUGUUUACCGCUAAAUGCUAAUCCUCUUAACGUGCAUGAGCAUCAACUACUGAAAAUUAUGUCGAGUUAAAAUUAUUUAAUAAUGAGUGACUUAAUUACAUCAUCUUUUGUUGGAAAGAGCCACUACACCAGGAAAUUAAAGUAGAACAACCUCGUGUCAAGAGAGGGUGAAAUGGAAACAAGAAAGGUAAAAAUAUAGUCUCUUCCUUAAUGUCUAUUACAAAGUGUGAUGAGUUCUAUUAGUUUGCUCACCAGAAGAAGUUUUGCUAUUACCAUAGGCAAAAAGACCUCAACAAUUCAUUGUUAUGUAUCGAUAUAUAGUCUUAAAUUCAUCAGGAAUCCCCUUAUUAUUUUAUCAACGCACAAGAAAGUCCUGAAAAUUUUGCGAGUAAGAACGCAUGCAAUAAAUUUGAAUUUUUGUGCGAUUUAUUAAAGGACUCAGCCCUCGAUAAUUUAGUCUUUAGUAAUGUUCAAGGCUAAAAUUUCGGUAAUUCGCAGGUAAGAAGGCAACAAAUAUGUUUUUUUUUUUUUUGUGUAAUUCACCGGGGGUUAAGUUGUCAAUAAUUUGACCUUCAGCAUACCCACAAAAAAAUGGUGUUAAUUUAUUUAUUUUUAUUUAAACACAUGUCCCAUGCUUCCAUAGCUAAGUGGAACAAAAUUACAACAUGUUUGAAGCAAAACAUACAAAAGGUUACUUAAUUAAAACUUAAAAGUACGUUCAGCCCACCCAAACAUAUGCAUUCAGUCUCUCUCUAUCCACACGCAAAGAACAUAUUUCUCCCAGUCUCCACACACAAAGAACAUAUCUCUCCAGUCUCCACACACAAUGACACAAAGAACAUAUUAAAUGAGAUUUUUCUUAUUUUUAAAAACAAUAACUAUAGAUGAAAUCAUUAAAUCAUAUUUAAAUAGUCAAAAUUAAAUUAAAAAAAUACACAAGUUUUUUAAAUGGUUAUGUAACUAUUAAUUAUUUUUUAAUCUUAAUCAACCAUAUAUGAUCGGAAAACCCAGAUUUAAUAUGGACCAUUAGAUCGAAGACACACUCUUCGCAAGGUAAAUCAUCCUCUCCUUUUUCCAGUGAGUUUCCCCUCCCCUUUUUUUUGUAGCAUUCAGCUAUACAAAGCAGUUUCGUUUAUUUUUUUUUCUUAAGCAAUUAAGCAUUUCUGAAUUUCAGUUGUUCGCAUACAAAAAUAUUAAGAAAUGUGGUUUAUAUGUGCUAUUUUGUCAUCAGCACUAUGACAGGGUCCAGGGAUAAACGCAGAACGCUCUAUUUAUACGUUACUUUAGAGAAACAAGAGCAAAUGCCCUUGUAUAUAUGUGUCAUGGAAAAAUUUGCUUGGCAAUUUAAUUUGAAUAACCAUAUGGUGAUCAGAGUUAUGCAUGGCAUGAUGAUGUCAUCUAAUUUAUGUUAAUUUAGCGCUCCCAUCCUUCUGAAUAGUAAGAUACCUAGCCAUCCAUAUACACUUGGAAUACCCCAAACAAAUUAAUAAGUUAUACACUCAAAGAAUAAAUGCCAAACCCAACCAAGGCUAUAUGAGAAGCAUGGAAGCUGGUAAAGUCAUAAGGUUUGUGCUUUGUGAGAGAGGAGAAAAUGGAGCGGUUCUACCCCAAGAGAAGGGGAAGUGGUCUUGCAGAAUGGAAACAGGGUGGGAGCAUGGGCAAUGUUUCUGCACCUCCGGGCCAUUUGCUCACCAUAUUCGGCAUUGUCAUUGGCUUGUUGUCCUUCUCCCGUUACAAAGACUACAAGGCUCAGCUCCAUACCACAGCCUUCAGCUUUCAGCUAUUCCUCUUCUUGUUGCCCGUCUUCUUCAUCUUCUUCAUCUUUUCAUAUUCUACUACCUCAAGGCUCAACUUUCACGCAUUCAGACCAUGACUCUAACUGCCACUGGAGUUGCUUAAUACAAAGUAACGCUUGUCUCUUUCUAUUCUUUAUGUAACUAAUAAAUAAACAAGUUAACAUUUAUGUUGCAACUUAAUUGCAAGUAGCUUUUUUUAUUUUAUUUCUUGCUCUACUACAAUUUCUCGCAAUAUUUAAGCAAUGUUUGGAUAGCAUUGAAAAAGUAAUUUUACGAAUUCUAAUGUACACAAUGAAUAAGUAAAAAAUGUUACUUUUAAAAAUACAAGUACUUUUAACAAUGUGCUUAAUUUUGUCUCCAAAAUCACGGUGAAAAAUUAAAAAAAAGAUGAAACAACUAUUUCUUAUUUUUAGCUUUUAACAUGAAAUCCAAACAUGAACUUAAAACAUCUACCUCCGAUUGCUUCUCUUUCUCUUACGAAGUAGUAUGUCUUAAGGUAUGACUAGAGUAGUUUAUUUCAUAUUUACAAGAUCUUGUAGUUAAUAUUUUAUAGAGGUAGUAUUGACAAAAAAAAGGUUACUCCUUAAUAUUAGAUUUAAAUAAUUAUCAAAUUUACUUAAGAAUAAAAUAUUUCUUGAAAAAGAUGGUUUGUCAUUUUGGACUAAUUAUUUUCCAUUCUCAGAUAUUAACUAGCGAUAAAUAAGUGACUCGUAAAAUUUUUUAAUAACGCAGAUGACAAGCUAUCUUACAGAGCAUUACUUGUCUAUGGAAUGUAGAGACAAAGCUAUCUUACUGAGCAUUUUGUAAAAUUGCUUAAUAACGCAGAUGACAAGUUAUUCUUUAACCCGGUUGAGUGUAAUUCAGUACACUCAAUAGCCAACAAUUUAUUAUACAGGUCUCAACUCUCAAGAAACUAAUGAUGUCGAAUUACAUUAUUUUAAACCUAAACAACAAGCAAAUCCACCAAAAUUGCGUUUCUUCCCUCAUCUUUUAAGCAGAAAUACCGGAUCAAGUUUUGUUCUCUAAUACUAAGUAUCUAAGUAACGCAAGUAAGAAACCGUUGUUUCGAUUAUAAUAUAAUCUUUUAUUUGAAUCAUCAAUAACUUAUUUAUCAAUCUUUUUUCUUUUAAUAAAAAAAAGUUAUUAAAAUCUUUUAUAUCCCUUUGCCCGUUUGUCAUCAUCAUAUUCAUGUAGGAAGAAAUACAUUCAUAAUCACAAAACACCUUAAAUACAAUUCAUAAAUUCAUAUUCAUAGAGCAGCAUAAUCUAAUCAUCUACAUAUCUACGAUAAUCACAAAGGCUUGCAUCAAAGUUACUAUGUUCUUUCUCUAUAAAUAAGUAAUAAACACAAACAAAGCUCGUAACUAUAGAGAUACCAAGAAACUCUAAACAGAGGACGAAAUAAAAUCAAACAAACCAGGCAUCAAGAAAAGUGGAGUGAUAAUGAAGAAGCACGAGAACAAGCAGGAUCAAAGCAGCAACACCCCAAGGGGAGCUACCCUCUGAUGGGAAGUGGUGGGUUCUCCUACGCCUCUCCCAUGGCGAGGAGUUAAAGAAGAACCAUUCUGAAGUAUCCACUGACGAUAACCAACGAACUACGAGUAUUAGCACCACUGGUGUGGCUAACAGCAUCCACCCCAGUUGUUCUUCAGCGGCUUCAACUACUUCUUCAUACGACAAGUACCAUGAAAUGCCGAGGAAUAGAAGGAUCAGUGAUAAGAUUAGCAGAACGGGGUAUGGCACGGGGUUUAGACUGAAACCGUCCAAAACAGAGGAUGCUCUGCUUCUACCAUAGCCCAUUUUAAUUCAGAACUGUUGGAUGAGUUUGUGUCCUGUUUUGUUUAUUUAUAAUAGCUGAAGAUGAGGACGAGAGUGCUACGUUUGGUUGGUCGCUUAUUUUGCGAAAUAAAGUUUGUACUUGAUGAUUUGGCGCUGUCUGAUUUGUGGGAGUGCAACCCAUUUAAAAUGAUAGUCAAAAGAUCGGAGUUAGUGACACUAGGUACGACAUCCUAAACAAGGGUAAUGUGUAGGACAUCAUAUACCACAAAACAAAGUGUGUGUUUUAUAUGUAUAUACUAUUAAUUUUUAAUUAAUUGCUUUUUGAACGGGUAGGUUUGCAUUGUGAAUAACUGAAUACAUCUGGUUGUUGCUCAAUUCAUUACUAUUUACGAGGGAUGCCCCACCAUUCAAAUGGAGACACGUUGUAGUUAUCCUGUGCGAAAGUAAUGUUACCUGUUAGAAUGAGGAAAAAGAGUAACGUACAACUAGUUAAUUAUAUUCCUCGGCGAAAAAAAAACUAGUUAAUUUUUUUAUCAUAUAAAAGCUAGUUCAUUAUAUUGAUAUGUAGUUAAUUAUAUUUCAUAAAUGGUUAAAAGUAAAUCAACAUGAUCCUAUACUGGUACAUAGUUAACGGUGUUAUAAGGUUGGGAGAAAGAUAUUUUAAGUUUGAAUUAAUAAAAAUUAAUAACAUAUUUUUAAUAAAAAAUACUUAAUAAUAUUAUAAGUUUAUUGAAAUAUUUAUGAUGUAUUUGAUUCAGGGGAUGAAGAUAGAGAUAAUGAAAAUAGAAGAUUUUUUUAAAAAAUUAAAUAGAUAAUGAAAAUAGAAGAAAAAUUUAAUGAGUCUCGCAUUGGAUGCAUCAAAUUUCUCUCAUCCUUUCUUAAACCAAACAUAACUUUAAGGUUUGAUUAUAUUUAGUUUGAUAAUUUAUCUUUUAAAAAAUUUAAUUUAAUCUUUUAUCUUUUUAGAGCACGAUUUUGAAUUAUGUUUAAUUAUUUCAAGAUAUGAAACUUGUUAUAUUAGAUACCCUUAUAAGAAAGAUUAUAAAACUUAAUUGAUAUUUUGAUAACGGUAAAAUAUGAGCUAAUUUAAUAGUUAAUUUUGACUAAUAAAUGGGUGUGAUUUCUUUAUUUUAUUAUUAUUUUUAAUAAAAUAAUGAAGAAAUUAUCAUCUUUGCUAUUUUUUAUCAGCAUAAUUCAAAAGAAGAAGAUUUUAAGUGUUUUGAAGGGAAAAUUGAUGUAAAAAUUGGACAAAAAAACCUUGAAGAAAAGUUGAAAGAAUUGGACAACUUGCUUAGCAUGCAAUCCAAGCUAAGUGUGCAGUCUCGCUCAGCACGCAACCUAGGUUUAGCACGAGAAGGCCCACGAGAAAGCCUAGAUGCGCUAAGUGCGAGGUCAGCGUAAAAUGUAAGCUACCUUAGGCCUAUAAAAGGAAGACAAAGCAAAAGGAAAAUACACAUCGAGUCUCAGAGCUAUCCAAAGCCUACAUCUAUCCCUUAGGAAAAACCUAAACUCUUUUUGUUGAGAGUCUCGAGGCCAAAUUCUUGUAAUAUAAUUUGUUCCUAUUAUUUAUUUAAUGUAAUUGCAAUUAUGUUUUUAUUAUUCUUCUGUGUGUUUUUCUGUUAUUAUGUACUGAUCACCCAUACAUGGUAAUGCAUUAAAAAAUGGUUAUUUUCUAAAGAAAUGAGAAAUAGUAUCUUAAUAAAUUCAUUGCUAGGAAUAGAUAAACAUUUAUUUUACCCACGAAUUUUUACAUAUCUUAUCUUAAUGCGGUUUGUUUAUCUUUAUAAAGAAAAUUGAAAAAAAAAAGAUAAAUAAACUAGGUCCUUCAUGCAGGAAAUUAAAGAUAAGAUAAUUUAGUAGAUGAGAGUGAAAACAACGAUUUCAUUUAUUAGAGAAAAUCUACUGCAAUACAUUAUAAGUAAUUUUGAUAUGCUAGGUCCCAACAUCAUAUUUCAUCUCUUUUCAUUAAAUUGGUGUUUACUUUCCUUAUUAUCUUUUUGUCUAUCUUACUCUAAAUUUCAUAUUUAUAAUUUUUUAUCUCUUUCUUUUCAUUACUUAAUAAUUGGGUUUGUAUCACUUAAAGUAGAACCAAAAUUCUUGUUAACAUGUUUGAAAAAAAUCAUAAACAAUAAAAAUCGUGUGAAAAAUGAGUGUUACAUGUAAAUGAAAAAAAUAAUCUAAUAUUAAAUUUUUCUAUUUUUCAGUUGCUCAUUAGAUUUAUUUUUUUUAUAAUUUUCAGUGUGUUUAUAAUCCAUUUUGACUUGAAUUUUUUUAUGUAUGUGGAUCUAAUGAAAUAAAUUUCACAUCUUAAAUUAAUAAAAUAUGAUUCAAAACCGUGUUCCAAAAUUGACAAUAAUUAUUAUUAUAUAUGAUAAAAUUAUUGAGAUUAUCACUUUAAAAUACCUGUAUAAUUUCUAAUUAGUUCACAAUGUAAAAUUUUUAAGCUAACAAUACAUACAUGAAAAUUAAAUUUAUAUUACAAAUGUAUUUAAUAUUAUAUUAUGUGGAAUAUUUAAUUCUUAAUUUGUUUGGAUUAAAUGGAAGUAAAUAACGUAGCGGGUAAAACGAUUUCACGCUCAUACGAAUAUAUGUGAUUUUUUUUUACAGCAAAUUUAUGUGAUUGUUAGUGAUCUUUGUUUUAAGACAUAUUGUAACCCCUCCUUCUCUAAUUUUUUAAAACAAACUAUAUUUUUUUAAUAAGAAAAUGAUAUGAAUUUAGAAUUUAUUAAUGUAAUUAUAUAUUUGGGAUAACAAUAUAAUUAUAUAUAAUGAUAUACGUUAAGCUUUGUUUAUUUUUAAUUUCUCUUAAAUGUUUUUUCAAAUUCAUGACUGAAAAUAAGUGUUAUUGGUUGAUUAGUUUUUUUAGGAAAGUUGAUUAGAUAUCUACUUUGGUUUAGUUAAAAAAAAUUGAAGAAAAUAAUUUUUAAAAUAUUUAAUCUUUCCCAAGUAUCUACUUAAUUUACUGUAUUUGAUUCAGUAGGUUUACAUAGUGAAUGCCAAUCCGGAAUGAUGUUGCUCAAUUGUCGAUGUGAGGGUUGCCCCACAAGUGAAGCGUAGCCACGUCUUAGUUAUUUCGUGCACAUUUUUUUUAACUAGCUAAAUCCCUUUAUAUUCCAUACUUCACAUUUGGUACCUCAUAAUUUUAAAUUUUAGUUAUUUACUUAUUUAUUAGUAAGUCUAUUGUAAACUUUUUAACAAAACUUACGGAUGUGAUAUGCUAAUUAUAACGUGACAUUGAUAAAUGACAUAUGUUAUGCAUAUGUUAACAUAUUAUUAAUAGUAUGACGAGAUACUAAUAUCUUGAUAUAGCAAACACAUUAGUUAUGUAUUGAAUUAUCACGUUAUCUAUUAGUAUGUUAGUGUUAUGUCAUUAGUAAUAUAUUACACAUAAAAUUUGUAACUUUUUAUCCAACUAUAAAUUAAUAUAUAAAAUUUCACCAAAUGAGUUAAAUAAAUUUACAAAUUAUAUAUUUAGUAAGUUAAAAAUAAAUAAUAAGUUAGUGAUGAUAAUUUGUAAAUAUUUUUCUGUAACUUGACAUUAUAUUAUUUAUAUUGAAAAAAUUGUUAGUUAAAUAAUAAUAAUAGAAAUAAAAAAAACACAUGUCUUGAAGUGUGUAAUAACAUUAUUGUAUAGACAUAAUUAAAACGAUAAAGUCGAAAAAUUAUUAAAAAUAAAUGUGAUUACAUCUUAAUUAUAAGUAAGUGUAAUGAAAAAAUAUAAUAAAUGACACUUUAAUUAUAAGUAAAGUGAAUGUUAUACUAUAAUAAGAAAAAGCUUGUUAAUUGCAAUUUGCAAAUACAUCCCCUGUGUGGUGGUUGCGCAAAGAUGCGUAAUCCCCUUAAAAGCUACCGCUUUAUACUGAGUCAGGCUGAUACAAAAGAAAAUAGUUGAGCUGCGGUGGGGACAAACUUUAGGUAAUAGGUCACGCUUCAGCCAUUUCAAUUUUCAAGUCAUGAAGAAACCAUGCUGUUUUCCUUUCUUCUCCUGUUCUUCUUUUUCUUCCCUGUUUAAACAAUUGGAAUAAUCUCAACAAAUUAUAAUCAAACUUCUAACCUUGCAAGAGCCCAUUUUCCGUCACACGGUUUUCGCAUUCCUAAUGCCACAAUUAAUUUUAUGUUCACACGAAAAGGAACCAUAUUCUCCCCGAGAAUUAAUUUCAACUAUAAUUUAAGUAUUUAAACUAGAGGCGUCACAAUUUACACAAAUCCCUCUUCAUUAACUGUUUGGAAUUGGCUCUUCCAAGACAAUAAAGCAAACACGAAAGUUCAAUCUCCUAAAAAAAGGUACUAUAUUAUUCUUAAAUUAUGGUAACAUAAUGACCCAACCCAGAACAAUUAAUUAAUAACAAAAAUAUUGUUCUCAUUUGGAUUAUAUAUAAAUUAGUAACACAACCCUGACCCUGCCUUUUAGUUUUCGUAACAAACAAUGAAACAAGCACAUAAUUUACACGAUCAUAAUAUUCCAAAUACAAUAUUUUACUUAGUGACCAAAGAUAUGAGAUAAUCAUAGAGCACUGAACACUAGCAGGUGUUGGACUGACACUAGCAGUAACAGUAGCAGACAUGCUUACACCGAUAGCACGUUGGCUUUGCAUAAACCCUCCUGGGAGUUCCAAUCAGUGACAGCAAAAGCAAGAUGAGUAGUACUAGUAUUGGUGUGAUCAAAGCUGACCAAUUCGUCUUCUUUUCUUCAACUACCACCACUUGUUCACGCGUAAAGAGCCAAGGUAUGCCAAGAAGCAUCAAGGCCACCGCCAACAUCACAAUAACAUCUGAUGUAUGAGUACUAUAAUUGCGUUUAUAGCAAUAGUAACCCAUCCUCAGAAAUCUGGAAAUGAUUAAUUAUAGAGAUUCACAGUGAUCAAGUGGAUCCAAGCAUAUAAUAGCAAGGAAAAGCCUUGCCUCUAUGGAACUUUAUAGAACAAACCACUCAUCACAUCUAAGAUUAAUAUCCACCUCACAACAUUAGAUAUAUAGUUGCCUAGUUGCUCUCACAACUUUUUUCUAGUAAGCCAUCACAUUCGGCAAUAAUGCUUAAAACAGGCACCAUGACGUGGGGUCAACUAUAUGGUAUAUGUGGCAUGUGCGUAAGAUGGUGAUAUGAAAUAACUUUUGGAAAUUGGACUUGUUAUAGGGGCAAAUCAUUUCAUCAUGAAAACGAAUUCAAUUUUUUAUUUUGCUUUAUAGCGCACUAUAAACUAUUUUUGUUGCACAUCACUGUAAUGUGAUCCUUAUCAUACUCUUUAUCUUGUAGGUAGGUAGGUAUUGGGACUGUAGUCUGCAAUAUAUAGUUUUACCUAUAAACGCAAAUAUUUUUCUAACCUGUAGUUCUUAUAUGUAGCAUUUAAAAACUUAUUUGAUCAUCCACAAUUAAACAGAAACAAGGAAACAAGGAAACUAACCCUUGUCAUUUUUUACAACCACCAAAAGGGUUCAGUCUCUAAUCCAUUGCCCUACGUAUCUCUAUUACCUUUUGACUCGUAGAAUUUGUUUUUUGUCAAGUUUGCAAAAGUCUAAUAUCACAUCGACACAUUAUAUUGGCAAAUUAAGCAACAAAAAAAUAUCUGUGAACACCGGGUUUUUAUUACUCCACAGUGAAAAAAUGUCAGGGUGAAGGUUGUAAGCUUGGAGUUAAACGUGAAUAUAGAUAUUUUUUUUAUGAACAAAUAUUAGUUGUUAAUAUUGUUAGUUUUUAUUAGUGAAAAUUUGAAUUCACAAUUUUUUUUUCUUCUUAGACCAAUCUUAUAUUAAGUGGAUAUAAGUAUCCUAACUUUUUGAGAUGGAGAAAAAGAAAAGGGACAAUCUGUUGUGUGAUUGGAAAGUAUAACAUUGCUACUUCUGAUGCCGCUACUUUUGGGAUCCAUAUCCUGAAUAAACCUAUAUCAUAUAUAAACAGAGAAAUUAAACUGCGCAGUGAUCUUUUGCUGUUUUUUGAAUCUGCUCUAUAAUUAUAAAAAACAACUGGAUAAGCAGAAGGAAAUAAAAAGGAUGUCAUACAAGCGAAAUACUGUUAAAUUAAGGACAAAAUAACCUUAUUGCGGAGCCAAAUAGUUUUUUUUUUUUAUUAGGUAUGCACAUCAGUUUCAAAAAAGUUUCAAAUAUACUUGUUCAAUUUUAGACAAAUAAACAGUCCAUUCCCGAUGUGUUCCACAAAAGGAAAUAUCAUGGUCCUAUCAGUCAGAUUUAUAGGAUAAAAAAUGUCUUGAAAUAGGCAGAGGUAUCAGGUAUGAGGUAUGUAAGUAUAUAAAAGAUUACCCGACUAAUAGCAUGCUUGGUUAUGCGUGAGUUUUAGAAAAAUCGAUUCUAUUUUCGUGGUGAAGCAAGUUACAAGUAAUUACUUCAAAAAAUUUCAUUGUCAUGCCACCAUUUUGAACUUUAUAAUCGAUUCUCAAUGAUAACCAAACACACACUAAAAAUGAUUUGAAGUUUAAUCUUCUUGAAAAAAAAAUUAUAUUAAUUUUUAUUAGUACGAGGAAUUAAGGCAGUUACCUUUUUUUUUUUCUCUUAAUAAUUCCACUCACUUUAUAUUUUUAUUCUCUUGAAAUCCUUCUACUGUACUUACUAAAAAUUCACGUUAGCAGAAAUGACUGUUCGAAAAGUGGCUUUCAGAGUACAAGGUGUACAAAUAUUUUCAACAAGAAUGGCCAUAAAACCUUAAACUAAUACACUCCUUUUCAAUUUUUAUAAUAACAAAAUUACUCCGUGGUAAUCGAUACUCACAACAGUGUCCGAUAAGCUAAUCAUAAAGCAAUGUCUGAGAAGAUACUUUUUUUUUUCCUGGAGAAUGUGAAGAUAUAUUGAUCAAAGUCAAAAAUUUACUUUUUUAAAAAAAAAAUUAACGUUGGGUCUUGUGUAAACAUAUAUUAUGCAGCAAUCUACACUUUGUCCCUCAGCCCAGGUACAUAUUUCCUUUUUCUUGUGCGAACCGCAAUUGUAAGUAAUCAAACUUUAAAAGUUACAUGUUCAAUAAUUUUUUAAAAGUAUUUCCAUACCGAGGCUAAUUGAGGUCUCUCUUGUCCUCUCCCUCUUUUGUUUGAUAACCAAAAAUAAUACUUAUGAAUGUAAAGAUCGAUAUGCGUUUUUGUAUUCAACUUAAGAAUAUGUUUCUAUUCUACUAUGAUUUUGCUGGAAAUGAACAGUGGACAAAAUGACAUUUUCCACAAAGUUGCAUCAGUGCCAUAAGUGUUCGAUUCACCGGCAUAUGAAUUGUGCAGGGUACUAAAUAUCACAACAAACUUGAGCUUUAUUCGGAAUCAAUUUCUUGAGGGAAGUAUUCGACAACUUGGAACUGGUGUUUGGCCCAAGAGUUAGGAUGUUCAAAUAUAAGUAGAUCUAAAAUAAAAAUCAAAAACUGCAAAAGAAAAGAAAAAUGAAUCAAACCGAUUUAUUUGGAUGCUUUUUUUAACCUAGUUAGUAUGGAUCGAUUUAUGAUUUGUGUUUUGAAAUCAAAUCAAUCAAAUUAUAAUAAUUAUGUUAACACUUAUAUUAUUUUAGUGUUAUAUAGUUUAUGUGUAUAUCACUUUAAGUUUUACAGUAUUAUAAUAUUAUAUUUUUUUUUUAUCAAUAUAGUGUUAUGUGGUAUUAUGUAAAUAAAUUUAUAUAAAGUAUAUCCUCUUCUUUUUAAAAUAACUUUUUUAAGAUGUGUUUGAUUUAAAAUUAAUGAAAAUUGAUAAAUUUUUAUUAUAAAAGGUUUAACAUAUUAAUAAAUUUCUUAUAUUGUUACUAAUAAUUUUUUUAAUGAGUUUAAUUUAAAAGUUGAAAAGAAAGUAUGUAGAUAUUAAUAAAAUAAUAUUUUAGUAAAAAUUACAAAAAUCGAACGAAUUAAAUCAUAAAAUAUUAAUUUAGUUUAGUUUGAAUUUUAUUUUAAAAUUAAAACUAAAAUAAAUUAAACAGCAUAUUUUUUUAAUUUUAGUUUGGAUAAUUUUUUGAUCAAAAUGGAACCACGAACACACAGAGUGAAACGAGGAUCUUUUUGUUUCCUUACUCGUAUGGACCCGUUUAGUAUAAGUGGACUGGACUGGGCCACACAGCAGGACAACAAAGGAUAUGUAUAUUAUAAGAGAUGGAAUACAUUGGGCAGGUCAAUUUCUACAUGGGAAUUGCCUUUUUUAUUAUCUUUCUUUAUUACAUCACUAUUCAGACUUCGAUUUUUUUUAUCUUAUAUUCUAAAAAUAUAAUGUAUAAUAAAACGUCUAAAUCUCUAAAACUAUUUAUAAUAAAUUUUGAAAUUAUAAUUAUUAAAUUAAUUAACAAAAAAUUUUGAAAUUAAAUUUCCAGAACACAUUCAAAAUGUUUUUUAUGCCUUUUAAAAAAAAAGAGUAGUGAUUAUAUACCACAAAGUUUUGUUGAUGCCCAAUAUUUAUGAAUAAUAAUUUUAGUUAAAUUUCGAUAUUGAAAAUUUAUUUUUUUAGUAAUUUUAUUAAAAAAUAAUUUUAUUCUAGUAAAAGUUUUGUUUGGUUCAGCGGAAAUGAAGAAAAACAGCUAGCCUAGGCUAUCCUUGAGAAGGAGAGACUCUAGGGGAGGGGAAGGAAGAUCCAAAAUGAUUUAACUUCUAUUGAAUAUUUAAAAUUUUAAAAUUUUAAAAUUUAUCUUGUCAUAAAUAUAUUAUAUAAGAUUUAUAUUCGAUGUAUUAUCGUUAAUAUACUUAUUAAACUUUGACAUAUAAAAUAUUUUUUAUUAAUUAUACAUUCAAAAAUUUAAUUAAAUAAAUACUAUUAAAAUAUUUCUCAUUAAAGUUUAUAACAAUGAGAUUAAACGUAUUAAAAUUUAUAUAAAUUAUUUAAGAAAUAUUAUGAUUAUUUUUAAAAACAAUCAUCACACAUGUAUACAGUUUUUAGAAUUUUAUUAUUUAGCUUAAUAAAAAUACAGAAAGUAUUGUUAAAAGUUUAGAAAAAAAACAUAUUUAAUUUAUAUAUACAAUGAAAAAUAUUAAUAUUUUUACGUAAAUACUUAUUUUAAUGUAAGAUAAACAUCUUAAUAAACUUUUAGCCUGUCCUUUUAACAAUUUUUUUUAUAGUGAAGGAAAAUAAAGACAACAAAGAAACUAGGUUCUAACAAAAUGGAUGCCUAGAGCAUAGUAAACCGCUAAGAAUAGAGCUGAAUAAAUAUAUACUACUGUUAUACAAAUAAACAACCAAUCAUUGAUAAUUAUAUUCAUAUUUAAAUAAAUAUAGCCUAUAAAAUUUCGUAAUUGUAUACGAAUUUUAAUUAUAAUAGAAAAAUAUUUUAAAACAAUGUGUAAUAUAUUUGCUGAAUGAAAUUCAAAAUAGGUUAAAUAGUCAUUUUUGUUCCCUAAUGUGAUUCGUUAACAAAUCCGUUCUUAAAGAUAAAAAUAUAAAAUUUAGUCCCCGAAAAUGUAAAAAGUACAACAAAUAUAUCCGACCGUUAACUUCCAUUUGUCACCGUUAAUAAAAUGACCUACGUGGGAUAGAGAGACAAAUUUGUCACUAAGAUGAUUGCCAACGUGAUCAUAUCGAAUUGUCAACACAUAGACAUAUUUAUCAUAUAAUAUUUUUUUGACUUUUUAUCUUCCUAAUUGCUGAAAAGUCCCUAAGAGAUGAAAAUACAAAAUUUAGUCCCCGAAAGUAUCAAAAGUGUGACAAAUAUAUCCGGAUGUGGACGUUAAUAGUAGAUUAUGACUAAUUAUUAUAAUUUGAAAUAAUUUAUACUGAUUGUGACAAAUUUUUUUCAACAAACUCAUAAAUUAAAUUGAGUCUAAAAGAAAAAAGAAUACUAAUUUUAUUAACUGGUAUAUAACUUUUUUAUACUCUUAUGCUUAAUGAAAGGUUUAAGUAAAAAAAAUGUUUAUUAUAAAGCAUUAUAGUUAAAUUAGAUUUAUGAAUAAUUUUUAGAAAAAAUUGCAACUGCAAUGACACUUUUAAUUUGUAAAAAACACUCACUCCUUAGAAAUGAUUUUUUAAAUGACGGGUCAAUAAAAAAUAAUUUUGUAUGAAUAAUUUUGUAUGACAUAAAAAAUUAAUUUAAAAAUCAAGAAACUUUUUAUUAUAAUUUGUAAUUUGAUGUCGUUGCAUAUACUUAUAAACAUUCAUAUUUUAUUAUGAAAAAUUUAUGGAAAAAAAUAAUUAAAUAAAUAGUGUUUGAUUAAACACAAAUAAUGAUUUCUUAUCGUUUUAUAAUAAAUUUUUUUUGUGUUGAUAACAUUUAUUUAAGAGUUAACAACCAAAGUAUUGGUUUUUUUUUUGUAGUUAAAGAAAAGUAAGAAGAAUUCGUCAAAGUAAUAAAAAAUCACUUACAUUGAUAAUAUUUUGUUGCAAUCAUUAUAAAUUUUUUAAAAUUAUAAUAAUUAGUCACAAUCUACUAUUAACGUUUAGAUAUAUUUAUCGCACUUUUUACACUUUCGGAGACUAAAUUUUAUAUUUUUAUCUAUCAUGAUGUUUUAUUAGUGAAGUGAAAGACAAAAAGUCAAAAAAUAUUAUAUGACAAAUAUGUCCCUAUGCUGGCAAUUAGAGAUGACCACCUUAACCAUCCUUUAAGUGACAAAUUAAUUCCUCUAUGUCACAUCACAUGAGUUAUUUUAUUAACGGUGGCGGACGAAAGUUAAUGACUAUAUAUAUUUAUCGCAUUUUUUAUACUUUUUGAGAUUAAAUUUUGUAUUUUCAUUUUCCAGGGAUAUAUUUAUGAGCGAAUUACAGAGUUCGAAAAAGUGACUAUUUACCCUUCAAAAUAUGUAUCUUGUAAAUAUCGAAGCAGUGUGAGAAUAAAAAUGAAAAAUAAAAGACAAUGUGAAUUUUGAAAUUGUCACUUUGUGGCUGAGUGAGGGUCAUGGUGAUGGUAGAGUGAAUGAGCAACAUUUAAGAUCACACGUAGCACCACAACAUCAGCCCCUCCGUAAGUCAUGCAUAAUAGUCAUACAAAUCCGUUCUUUCGUUGUUUCCUUCACAGAUCACAAAUCACAAUCACAACACACAGGGAAAGGAAGAAGGACAUUUUUGUUUCACGUGCUUUAACUUCUCUUUCUCUACAACUUUAAAGUACUGUAAACCAACUUCAUUUCUACGCAAUUUAAAAUGAUUAUCUCAUUUGACCCAUUGAGCCCUCUUUGUCAUGCAUCAUGUUUAAUUUCGUGUUUGUGUUCCUACACUAUACAUUGUGGAGCUUGCAUGAUGCCUAAAUGUAAAAGAUCUUGAAAGUUUUCUGAUCCUUAGUUAAUUUGUGGCAACGUGCAAGUGGUUUUCUGAUCACAUUGUACAACCAUGGAGAUUUUAAUUACAAUGUUGUUUCUUCUGCAUAUCUAUAUUCCCUUACGAAAUUAUAUAUAUUUCUUGGCUUUCAUGAUCUCCAGUUACCUCCUUUCUUUCUUUUUCUUUUGUGGUUAUCUUCUCUUGUUUGCUCAAUGCUUAUAAUCGUAUAUGAGACUUUCACUUUAGGAUCUGGGUGAAUUUUGGCCAGCUAGUUAAUUAAGAAGUAACCCUUUUUUAGAAUUUAUUGAAAAACAAUAGUGAGAAAAAUAACGUUGUGCCUUUGAUAGGGAUCUUAAAUUGGAAAGUUGGGACUACAUAGUUAAAACCACUUGAUUUUUUUUCUUCUGUUCCGUAACGACCAACCACUUGAACUAAAUAGUGUGAUGUUAUUUUCAAAAUUAAUCACUUGGUUCGUGUUUAUAGUCUUCAUGUGGUAUCCAAAAGUAUAUCUCAACUCAAUCGUUUUGAAUUUCGGAUUAAAAGAACGAUGCAUUAGUUUGGAAAUAUAUGCUUUUAGGCUCAUGGAGUGUUAGCAGCAAGGAAUAGGAGUUUGUGGGGGUGGUUUAUAUCUAUGUUAAUUUUAUGUCAAUAAACUUUACUGUGCAGGAUUUUGAGCAAGACAAUUGCAAGUGCUAAUAUUUUGGAAGAUGUCUUCGUUUCCGAUAGAUAGAUCCCAUAAUGGGAGUCUUAAGUGUCUAGAGGCACUAAGUAGUGUAUCAGAAAAGGAGGAAUUUGAUUUCUCAAAAGCAUUAGAUAGGCCUAGGGCUCUGAAUAUAGAGAGACAGAGAUCAUUUGAUGAAAGAUCAAUGAAUGAACUAUCCUUAGGCUUUUCUCCACGUCAAUUGGCCACAAAAGUUGAUAGUUCAUCUCGCCUGGGAGAUCUUCUUGAUCAUGUACAUUCUCCUAGGCCAAAGUCAGAUAUUAAUACUCCGGGAUCAGUGACAUUGGAUCCACAUCCAUUAACAUCAGAAGCUUGGGAAGAGCUGAGGCGUUCCUUGGUAUAUUUCCGUGGUCAGCCAGUUGGUACAAUUGCUGCUUUGGAUAAUUCUGAUGAGAAACUUAAUUAUGAUCAGGUAGCAUGAUCUUGGAUAUGUAUCUGUUUCUUCUAUGUUGUCUUUUUUUUUUGUGUGUGUGUAUGUCAGUGGGGGGAGGAAUUGGCACAAUUUCAUCACAAUACUUGGAUUUUGGUUACACUUCUAGACCAUGUUAACUAUUAUGGAUCUACACUCAUGGUUCAAGUGACAUAAAAUCCACUGUCCGGAUAAGCAUGCUAUAUUACAACUUAAUCUUUUAGUUUCAUUGUUUUAGUUUUUACUUGUCAUGCUGGAUCAGUGGCUUUGAUCAUUAUCUCUUUCCUUGUCUCCCCAUUUUUGAUUUUGCUAUGAGAUCUAAUCUAAGGUAUUUUUACAUUUGUGUAUAGGUGUUUAUAAGAGACUUUGUCCCAAGUGCUUUGGCUUUUCUGAUGCAUGGGGAAACGGACAUUGUUAAAAAUUUUCUUUUAAAGACCCUUCGCCUUCAAUCAUGGGAGAAAAAGAUUGACAGGUUCCAACUAGCAGAAGGGGUGAUGCCUGCUAGUUUUAAAGUAUUCCAUGACCCAGUUAGAAAUCAUGAGACCCUGAUAGCAGAUUUUGGUGAAAGUGCAAUAGGCAGGGUUGCUCCUGUUGAUUCUGGAUUUUGGUGGAUUAUACUGCUUCGCGCAUACACAAAGGCUACAGGAGACUCUUCUUUGGCUGAACGGCCUGAAUGUCAAAAGGGUAUGCGCUUGAUCUUGAGUUUAUGCCUGUCAGAGGGGUUUGACACGUUUCCAACUUUACUAUGUGCUGAUGGAUGCUGCAUGAUUGAUCGAAGAAUGGUGAGUUUUAUGAAAUUUAUGAUUGUCUACUGUCUUGAAACUAGGCAUUGAUGAUUCAUGAACUAUUAGGGGAUUUACAAUGACUUUUGUUGCUGUGGUUAAUUUAUCCAUUUCUUUCUUUCAACUUUGUAUUAUGACUUCAGGGUGUUUAUGGGUAUCCAAUUGAGAUUCAAGCAUUGUUCUUCAUGGCUUUAAGAUGUGCCUUGCAAUUGCUUAAGCAAGACAUGGAAGGGAAAGAGUUUGUGGAGCGAAUUGUGAAACGGUUGCAUGCCUUAAGCUAUCAUAUGAGGAGCUACUUUUGGUUGGAUUUGAAGCAGCUUAAUGAUGUAUACCGCUUCAAAACAGAAGAGUACUCGCAUACUGCAGUGAACAAGUUCAAUGUUAUUCCUGAUUCAUUACCAGAUUGGAUAUUUGAUUUCAUGCCUCAUCAUGGUGGAUACUUUGUUGGGAAUGUGAGCCCGGCUAGGAUGGAUUUCAGGUGGUUUUGCUUGGGCAAUUGCAUUGCAAUUUUGUCGUGCAUGGCAACUCCUGAGCAGUCAAUUGCAAUCAUGGAUCUCAUUGAAUCACGCUGGGAGGAAUUAAUUGGAGAGAUGCCUGUCAAAGUUUGUUAUCCAGCAAUUGAAAACCAUGAAUGGAGGCUCGUAACAGGAUGUGACCCUAAAAAUACUAGAUGGAGUUACCACAACGGGGGAUCCUGGCCAGGUAAUUCUUAAUUACUAAUUUCUACGUCACAUGUAAUUCAGUUUCUCAAUUCACAAGAAAAAGUUAAUAAACCUCAUUAACUGAAAUCACUUACUAGGACCAUGGACAUGUGGUGGUGCGAAUCAUAUGACAGCUUUCCCCUUAUUAGGGUAUGAUAUGAUCGCAGAGCUAGACACAAGAUAACGAUCAUUAAUUAUAUUGUCCUUCUCUUGCAUGUAUGUAUCCUAGUGUCCAACAUCAUAUCCUUUUACUUAAGAACAGGAGAGGACUAAAUCUACAUUAUAUAUAAAAGGAACUGUAACAUUUUUGUUAAGUGAACUCUAAUUUUUUUAUCAUUGUGAAAUUUGAGUAGCUCAUUUAGUAGGAGCUAGCUGACACACUUUCAAUUGAGAUGCUAGUAAUCACAUAAUUUAGAUACAAUUAUUUGUGAUGGUUACAGUUCUUUUAUGGCUUCUGGCUGCGGCAUCGAUCAAGACUGGGAGGCCCCAAAUUGCAAGGCGUGCCCUUAACAUUGCUGAGAGCAAAUUGCUGAAGGACAACUGGCCCGAAUACUAUGAUGGAACGACGGGCCGAUAUGUUGGGAAGCAGGCCCGUAAGUUCCAGACCUGGUCCAUUGCUGGUUACUUGUCCGCUAGGAUGAUGCUCGAUGAUCCAUCCCAUUUAGGUCUUGUUGCUCUCGAAGAAGACAAACACCUCAAGCCUUUGCUCAAGAGAUCAAUUUCGUGGACUUUAUGAGUCACUUUAUUCUUUCAUUCAUCCAUUUUGAACUUGUGGCAAUGAUAGAAAAGAGUUUUCUCAUGAAAAGAAUAUACUAUGGUAAUUCAACUUUUUAGUUUUCAAAUUAAACAUUUCUAUUUAAGAAAACCAACAUCUUUUACAAGAAAGAUUAAUUAAUGUAUGGCAAGGAAAACAUUAUUAAUCUCUCACAAGGAGAUUAUAAACAUGUUUCUUAUAAAACAUUUUGAAAUAAAUUAUUUAUUAUAUUGAAAAAAUAAGUGUUUUUCUGCAUAAAAAAAAUAUUAUUGUGAAAUUGACUUAAACAAACAAUAUAAGUCAAUUUGACAUCAUAUUUCAAUCUAAAAUCUUAAGGCUUAAAUUUAUGAGUUUUAUCGUCAUUUGUAUGAUAAUCAAAUUUCUCAUUCUUAUCCGAUAUAGGAUUUCACUUCACAUUUGUAUUCCAACAAUUCUUCUCAAGUGUGAGUUUCUUCUACAUAAUAGUCUCUCCCUCACAUGUAAGAUAUUCUAUAUUAUAAUCUUUCCCUCAAGCAAAAAUUAUUUUUAAUUCAUGAAUAUCUAAUAAUGACAUUUAGAAUUUAAUCAUAAUUACCUUGACUUGUUUAAUCCUUACUACCAAACAUGUUCUAGUACUCCAACAAAUACUCACACCUCAUAAAAUGUUUUUUUUAUAACAUAAAAGGAUAUCUUGAUGUAAACUACAACUCCAACAAAUACUCACACAUCAGAAAAUGUUUUUUUUUAUAACAUAAAAGGCUAAAAGGAUAUCUUGAUGUAAACUACAACGUAAAAUAUAAUUAUAUAUAUAAAUUUAUGAUAAUUAUGGGAAUUCAAUUGGCAAAAGUAAUUUCUUAUCAAUCUUUAUUAACCAAUCAUAUCAAAAGACAUAAACCAAUAAAAAUUGAACAAAUUAUCAAGUAACAAUAUAUAUGAGUUAACAUACCUUCACCAUAAAUAGGAACAUAAUUUAUUUAUUACAAUGUUUUAUAUUAAAAAACAUACAUAUUACUUAUGAACAUAAAUUAAUUGUCAAAACAGGUAAUUAAAGAUGAGAUCAAUAACAAAUAUAUAAGGGUGUUUGUUUCAAGUUAUUCAAUUUCAUAUGCGCGAAUAACAUGAGUAUUUUAAAGACUCAAAAUCAAGUGUAAAUAAAAAGCUCAAAAUAAAUUACUUGAAAUUUUGAAUUGUUAUUUGUAAAUCUAACGAGAAUUUGAGAUAGAUUUGAUUAGGAUUUGUUUUAAUUUGAUUUUAUAAUUAUUUCCUCUAUUAGAAUGUGGAUCUUAUCAUUUGCUAGGAUUUACUAUUACUAUGAUUUACUACCAUAUAUGUUUCUCUCUAAAUAGGAAACUUGGUGAUUUAAAAGCAUCAAAUUGAAUUUGAAUGAGAUAUGAAUUUUAUAUAAAUAUGAUAUUAUUUUUUUACAUGAGUUAUUAUUAUUAUUUAGUACAUAUUAAACACUAGAUAAUAUAAAAAAUUAUCACAUUUUUUAUUUUAUUCUCUUAUCCAACUUUUAUAUCUUAUUUAUUUUAUCCAUAUAUCAGUAUUUUUUUUUGAAACGUACUAAAAACAUCCAAUACAGAAAAUUAAUAUUUUAAAUGAUUAAGAUAAGAUCAAUAUUAUUAUUAUUAUUAUAAUAUUUGGUAUCGUGAAAAGUGCGUGAAUAUUGAACGACACUGAGGUUGGCAGUUUGGUUUGGGUGGGGUAUUGCAGCGAGUCAGCGAGUCAAGUUGACGUUGACAUUGACGUUGGAGUCGAGUUGUGCCCUAAUUGGCUAAUUCAGAAAGAAUUGAAUUCGGGGAAGAGAUUCACAAUUCUCAUCUCAUUGAUUGCUUACCAUCAAUUAGGAUUAGGAAGGAACGCAAAAUCAUCAAAUCAAAUAAAAGAAUUAAUCAUGAGGAGUGGGAAAAAGUCUAUUCACGCGAUCACGACAUGGGUGCGGCGGCAGCCCCCAAAGGUGAAGGCUUUUCUCGCCGUCGUUUCCGGCAUGGCGGCUCUCGUCCUUCUCCGCUUCAUCGUUCACGAUCACGACAACCUUUUCGUCGCCGCCGAGGCUGUUCACUCUCUUGGAAUUUCUGUUCUCAUCUACAAGCUCAUCAAAGAAAAAACUUGUGCCGGUUCGCUCACUUAUCCCCUUCCCUUUUCACUUUCUUUCUUUCUUUCUAUCAGUUACUUGUCAAUUUCUUUUAUAUGUCUGCAAUUUCCUUAUAAUAAAUUUGGAUUGCUUUGUUCUUAUCCGUUAAUAUUUAAUUUAAUGUGACCUGCCUUGAACAUCAAGAAAUUGUUUGUUUCAGAACGUUUCCAUUGAAUGAUUAAUGACAUUGUUUGGCUGCUUUUAUUCCUUUUGUUAUUGAAUGAGAAGAAGAAACAACAUUUUGUUGCUUUAUUUUGCUAUUCUAGCUUUGUUCAUGUCUUGUCAUGAGGAUGCUUCCCUGUUUCACGCCUUUUAUCGCUACUGUUUGUGAUGUACAGGAUUAUCGCUCAAAUCCCAGGAAUUGACAGCUAUAUUUUUAGCUGUUAGGCUGUACUGCAGUUUUGUCAUGGAAUAUGAUAUACACACCCUGCUUGAUUUGGCUACUUUUGCCACGACACUGUGGGUUAUAUACAUGAUUCGUUUUAAAUUGAAGUCUAGUUACAUGGAGGAGAAAGACAACUUUGCUAUAUACUAUGUGGUAGGCUCCCCCACUAUCCUUUCAUUUCAAAAUUAUAAGCUCAUUCUAUGUUCUUUUCAUUUUACUCAACUUCAAAGGUUAUAUAUACUUGUGCGUUUAUCUGCUCUAUUUUUUAAAAUUGAAUGCAGGUGAUACCAUGUGCUGUGUUAGCCUUGUUUAUUCAUCCAUCAACUUCACAUCAUUUAUUGAACAGGAUUUCCUGGGCAUUCUGUGUAUAUCUCGAAGCUGUGUCAGUACUGCCCCAACUGCGAGUCAUGCAGAACACCCAAGUAUAUAAGAAUAUCCAUCAUGCAUGUUAUUUAUGUUAUCCAAUUCUACACUUUUCCUUCUUAAUUUCAUUUUAUUUUAUGCUUUCAGAUUGUUGAGCCAUUCACAGCUCAUUAUGUAUUUGCCCUGGGUGUGGCAAGAUUCUUGAGCUGUGCUCAUUGGGUUCUUCAGGUAUGAUCUGUUCGUCCAAACUUGUGAUUGCAUUCAUCAGCUCUAUGAACCAUUUUCAAAUUCGCUUGUCACUUGUUUUCUGGCUUGUGCUGCUGUCUGUUAUCACUAAGAUGGACAUUUUCUGGAUUGGCUAUCUAGUCAAUCAAGGAGUGGAAUGUGAAUAUAUUUAUAAUUUGUAAUUUCAAGUUUGGCUUAUUUCCAUUGGCAUAAUAAUCAGCUUUCUUCUAUAAGUAUUACAGGGACAUGUGUUUGGCCAGUGGGUUAUUAGUUUGCUGUUCUUAGCACAUUUUUUUAGUAGUGCAACUUAUUGGAUUUACUAAUUGCUGGUCUCCUACAGUCCUACUAACUUACCAUUUCUUUUAACAGGUGUUAGAUAGUCGUGGACAUUUGUUGGUUGCCUUGGGGUAUGGAUUAUGGCCGUCAAUGGUGCUUAUUUCUGAAAUUGUCCAGACUUUUAUCUUAGCAGAUUUCUGUUACUAUUAUGUCAAAAGGUUAGUUGAGUGCAUUAUAGCAACUCUUUCCUGUUUUGAACCUUCUUUCGUGGGCUGAUAAUGUCUCAAGAACUUUUCAGCAUGAUUCUGUUCCUUAUGAUAUUUAUUUUAUUGCAGUGUUUUCGGCGGACAGCUUGUUCUCCGCCUACCUUCUGGAGUGGUGUAAUAGAAGAUUCACUUCACUACAUACUUGCAUUUAAAUUAACUUAAUCAAGCAAUAUGGUCGGUUAUCAUUGUUGGAGUCCAUAUUGCAUUGAAAAAGUAUGGUUCCUUGGAAGAAUCUGGUUCUUUGUAAAGUUAGAGAUGAAGGGAAAACAAGAUAUUUAUGUUGAAGGUACAGUAUUUGUAGCUGGAAAUGCUUUACACAUAACAUGUCUAUUUGCUUAGGCUCUUGAAAUUCAGUUCUUGACAUAACUUUUCCAUGUUAUCGUAUUUUAACUGCUUGACUUGAGCCAAUGAGGGAAUCGUCAUAAAGUUGAUUUGAAGUAUCUGUUGAAGGUUUUCUUUAUCCGUAUCCAAAAUUAGCUGGAGAGUUUAAUGCCUCGUAUAAACAUGGUCCAUGGUAAUGAUGGAUUCGGGAUUUCGGGGACAGUAGUAACGAACAACAAGACCGGUUAGGUCCCUGCUACGAAUGUCUUCAAAAGCAAUCCUAACUCCAAAACCCAGUAAGUAUGUUUGGUUUUACGUUUCGGAUGCAAGGUUUUACAUUUUGAAUGUGAUUCCUUCUUUCUGAACAAGUCUCUUCUAUGCGAUUCAUAUUGAAGUCGCAGAGCUGCCCAAAACCUCCCAUGUCCUGGAACACAACACCGGGCUUAUUGACAACUAGCUACUUGAUAUCCCGUGUAUUUAUUAAAAUGUUUCUCAAUUUUGAUAUAAGUUUGGUAACGCUUAACGUUGGAGAAAUAAUCACGUAAUUUUUUUAAAAUUUCAAAAAUUAAUGAAAACAAGUGAUUAUUAAACAAAUUAAACAUGUAAGUAAUCAUUUUACAACAGGGAGGUAGGUUUUGCCUGUGAUAGGUAAGUAUUUACAAUUUAUUUUUUUAAAUGAUAUUGAGUUUGGUUAAAAAUAAUGUUAAGUAGAGUGAUUGAUGUUGGAAGGUUUUUAUUUUAUUUUUAUUUGUAAGAAUACCUAAGGAUUUGUUACUCACAUUUUUUCUCAACCAAUUGAACUAAAUCUCUCUCUUUUGGAUGAAUGUUUUCAUUUUAAAAGCAAAGUUAGUAAUAAAACUCGGUUUAUUUCUCAAUAUCAUUUUAAACCUAUAAUUAAUUUCUCAACGCGAAAUUAAAUAUUUAAAUAUUUAUCUGAAAUUAUGUUAGCUAAUAUUUCAAUAUUUUAAGUGAUCUAAUGUGAAUCUGAAGAACACUUAACGAGUGUUUUUAAGUAUCUCCUAACAUGGUCCUUGUUUUAACCGGGCAUUAUGAACAAGGGCACCAAGUACGAAGAUCACGUUUUUGUUGUGUGUGCAUGUGUAUUUUAAUUUUUAAGCCAUUUGAAACCCCUUCACCCCCCAUGUAUAUGCUUACAAAGUCAAGCAGGUUUGUGCUUGAGCUCAGUGUUAACACACUGUCCUUGUUUAAUGUCUGAAUUUCAUUAGCUUAUAUUCGUUUGUACAAGAAACGAGGCUAUUUGGUUUGCCUAAGGUCCGAACAAUAUUGACAGGCCAUAAAUUGCAACUGGCAGUACGAGGCAAAUUUAAAUUCCAAACAAACAGAAACAACCAUGAAUUAGGGGCCUUCCAUUAUUAAAAUCAACUUACUCAAUCAUUCCAUCAUCAUGGAAAAUUUCAGAGACAAAUAAUCAUCCAUAUGCUACAUGUGAUUCACUAAAGUAUGUCAUCGUACAUGUUUACAAUGAUUGCCACAAUCUUUGCCAGAUAACUUAUACAGCCUGCAGGGCCAGAACAGUACAAAAGAGAGAUGGGAGGUGGGGCUGCAAUAUCUUCAGUUUAUAAGUUUGUAUUUUUACUUAAAUCUCACAAAUUCCCAACCAAAUAAUGGUAGUAGUGUACAAUUGGAGCCCACCGUGUAACAUUGCAUACAAAAAAAAACUCUGGAAGGUGAAAUUGGGUUGUCAAAGUUCAGAUUCGCACUUUCCAUUAAUAAAAUUAAUAACUUGUUCAACUGCCAGAUCAAGUGCAGUAGUUACAGCUGCCAAAUUUUGCAGGAAUUCUUCUGCAGUUGGUUUGUCACCAUCAAUGAUAUCAGUCACAGCUUUUACAAAUAUUGCAGGAACUUUCAGAAGGUCAGAAACAUAAGCAAUAGCUGCUCCCUAGAGAAAAAAGUUGAAACGGGGAGUUAAGCCUAUAUUCAACAAAGGAAAGAUGACAACUAUUACUGAUUAUUCAGUACUGCGCAAUUUAAGUGGACAUUUAUUUGAUGGAACAAGGUAUUAUUAGAGAAUAUGUGAAUUCAUGCCAUUCCCCAUAGAUUAGCUGCAAAUAAUAAGUUCUAGAAAUUAACCCAAAUAAUCAGGUUACCUCCAUAUCUUUAACUGUGGCAUCAUUUGCAAUGAUUGACGAUUCAUCCUGCUGUGUCAUAUCUAAAGAGUCACCAGUAGACAAUUUACCCACCUAAAAUACGGACAAAUACGUAAUGAAAUAAAUCAAAGUAUAUUUUCAUGUGUUUGAACUACAAAUGAAACAUCUCCUUGUUUCUGAGUAGGAUCUUUAUCUUGUGAGAAAGUGAGUUACUAUUAUUAUUAUGAUCCAAGUUAAAGCGGGUUAUUCACUUGCAAGGUUAUCAAUGCCAAGCCAGCAAUACAUUUAUAACCUCCUCAUAAACCAAUAUAUAAGAAAAAAACUAUUCCAUUCAGUUCACUUAAUAGGGUAUGGGUAACUCCAAACUAUGCCAAGAUUGUAUUGCCUGGCCUCGAAAGAACACACAUAAAGGUAAUAAGUAAUAACAGUGAGAGAUAAAAUAUUAAUAACCGGAAAAAAGUAAAGGCCAACCACCUGAAAGCUUAACAAUUUUUCUUACAUUGUCAUAAAAUGUUUUCUCCAUUCAUCUAUAAUUUAUUGUUGAUAGUGUAUUAGUGUGUCAGGCUGACUGAUAGCCAAAGUAAAUUAAACAUGUAAAGCUCAAAGGCACAAACUUCAUAAAAUGCAUGGGAAGUUCUUGAAUCCAGGUAAUCUGGUUAACAAAAGGCACCUAAUUCUGAAUUUCCGCUGACAAGACAUUGUGAUAUUGAGGUAUUUGGGUUGGCAAUGUGAAUUUUGAAUGACUGUAAUGGAGUGUUUUGUUUUCAGGAGGAGCAUAUACAUUUUAGCAAAUAGCACUCACCUUUAGAUUAAGCUCCUUUACAAGGUUGGGUGCUACAAAGGCUUUACGUAAACCAACUCCAUACAGAUCAAAAACCUGCAAAAGACAUUACAAGUGUAUAUUGAUGUUGGUGGCAAAACUUCUACCUCACUAUAUUUAAGCAUGGAGGCUUAUUAAAAAGUUCGGUAGAUUCUUAACUGGGCCAAUUGAAAAAUUUAAAAGAAAGCCAACAUUAAUGAUUUGACAGGUCAACCACCUCACUCUUUCUGUCUUUUUUCUUUGAUGGUUAAAUGAGAAACUAGAGCAAUGUGGUAUCAGCUAUGUCAUGCUGAAAUUGUUAUAAUUCUUUUUCUUGGAUAAAAUAAUAUUAUUGGAAGGAAAGAAGAGACACAUAUAAAAAAAACAAAGUAUCCUACAGAGGUAGAACAAGCCCAAACUAGAGAAAUAACACCACACUUACAGGUAUGGGUAUUCUUCUGUCGUGAAAAGCACAAUCUGAUACAAUGAAAACAUCACCAAUACUAGCUCCUUUGGCCUGAAAGCAUCCAGUAAUGAAUACUACUUAGACAAAUAUGUUCAUGUACAUACAAAUCCAUUUAUUUGUGACUGCCCCGUAAUGUUUUUAGCUACAAACAUAAUCAUUAUAACAUUUAAUUCACUAUAAAGAGUUACUAUUUGAUACAUGCAUACCAAGGGUGGAAAGUAGAACAACUGCACAGGCAGGUAAAACAUAAUUUUGUCAUCAACAAAUCAGAUCACAAUAAUAUGGUCAAUCAAUCCACUUAAAGUAGUCAUACAUUUUAGUUCAAUCCAUUUCUUGAUUACAAAACAAGUUAUAUAUAAAAUUAUAAGACAUAAAAUCAAUGGCCAUUAUUGAUUACAAAUAAUGUUUUAGUUUAAUUGGUUUUGAUCACUUUUGUUGUAAGUUAAUUACAAAAACAUUUUUAGAAGAAUAUGAAAAGCAUUAUUUAACAUAGAUUACAGGGUCAAGAUUUUUUUCUUUGAAAUGUUUAUUCAAAACAGUUAUAUCAACUCCAACACCAGUGAUAUAAAAAAGGGAAACAUUGUAUCGGAUCAUUACAAUUCUAUUAUUGCAAAAGGAAUAGGACUACAAUUUCACAGGAAGGAGGACCAAUGCUAGCUAAACUAGGAAGAGAUCAACAAAUAACGCAACAUACAAACAGUUUGGAGUACAAAACUAGAAAACCAGCAACUCUAACUGUAUGGCUUGGGGGAAGACAGUGCCUACCUUGAAGCCACCAGCAGUGCCUGCAUUGAUGAUCAAGUCUGGUUGUAAUGCUUGAAUAGCAGCAUACGUUACAAGAGCAGAUGAUAUCGUGCCUACACUAUCAACCCCUGAAAGAAAUGGAUCAGGACUCAUCAAAUGAAAAAUAGCAGUGAAAACAAAAAUUACCACUCUAUUAUGUUCCUUGAAGAUGCGUAGUGGGGUGUUAUUAUAGUUAUGCUAACAGACAUCCGAACUACUGCCCAUGCAACACAAUCAGGAAACAUAGUCCAGGCUCGAUAAAAAUCGGCAGAAAUCCUGCUUUUAUGUUUGUUCCUAAAGGUUUGGAUUGGGAUAGCAUCAUAGCAACAUUCAUUAUUCCCAUCUCAUAACAUUUCUUCCAAACAAUAAAUACAUCAUAAACCUAAUUAAGAACGGUGACCCAUCGUAAUUUUGCCCUAUACUUGCUAAAAAUCAGAUAUGAAUUUAAAAAGUGAAAUAUAAGAAUGAAUUGAAAGAACAAGCAUCCUUACCCAAAGUUGGAUCUUUUCCCGGCCAAAUCAAGCUUAUAUUAAGAUCUUUGUAUGUCCCCUGAUAACGGACCCAAGGAACCCCUUGCGGAAACCUGCACCAUUGUGCAUGGACACCUUAAUCAAAGUAAGUGAAAAGUAAAAGUACACUUUAACUUUACUUCAACCACAACCCCCCCCAAAAUAAAAAAUAAAAAAAAACUAUUUCAAAAAAUUCUAAGAUUAUGCACAAGACUAAAAACUAAUUUGUAAAAGCAGCAUAGCAUAACAGAGCAUCCAUACAGUAUUUCAUUUCCACUGAGGUUAGUCGAAAAAUAAAAAGUGUGUGAGUGUGAUUAACUAAUUAGAGUAAGUGAUUUUAAAACCUAAUAAAAUGAAAACACACAGAGAGAGAGAGAGAGAGAGAGAGAGAGAGACGGACGGGGUGUCAGGGUCCUCAGUGAGCUGGAAUCUGUUAACAAUGGGAAGUGCCUCCGUCUGCAUAGCUAUUAUUCAUUCCAUACUAACAUUAACAUUAACACGAUCAAAUAAAAAAAGACAAUAUAACUUAACAUAACAAUCGUAAGGUACCAACGACGAUGACGAUGUUAGAAAUGGGUCGGUUCUGAGGUUUAGGUUGGGCAGCCAUGGCUUGUUCCUCUGAUUGGUCCCCAAGCGCAGCCAUGACUAUUUGUUGCAGAUUCUUAUGCUUUUUAUGACUUUUCCUCUUCUAUCUUUUUUCCCCACAACGUUAACGUGUCUUCCAUUUAUAUAAAUAUAAAUAUAAAUUCAAUCAGAAUAAUUUUUGGGAGUUACUUUUUUUUUUUUCCUUCUACAAGCCAUAAGGAUUAAGGAGUUAUUUCUCUGUCUUUAAAAGGACAACAUUUUAAAAGUUUUUUUUGGACAAAACAUUUUAAAAGUUUGUCUUCGAUUAAAUCGUAUUUAAAAAUUUCUUAGUUCUUAUCUCUUUUAAUUAGUUUAAAUUUUUUUUAUUGAUAAUUGAAUAUAAUUUUAUAUCAUAAUAUAAAUUAUUUUCAUAAAUAUAAAAUAUAAAAUAUAAUUUUUAAAUAUAUUUAUUUAUUAAAAAAUUUAGUUAUAAUAUAAUUUAUAUGUUUAAAGUUAUUUACUUAUUAUAAAUUUUAAUUGUAUAAAAUAAAUAUUUAUCUUGUGUUUUAUACAUGAUAAGAUACUAGUGUAAUAUAUUAAGAGAAAUUAAUAACAGGUAUUUUUUUUUUAUUUCAAUGAUGUCUCACGCUUAAGAUUUGAUGUAAACUAUUUAAAUGACUAAACCUAUUCUAGUGAGUUUAAUUUAAGAACAAGUAAUUUAAUUUGCGGAUUACACACUACGAUCGAUAAAUGCCUGGAUAAAUGCAAAGGAUUACACAAUAUGAUUGAUUGAUAAAUACCGGGAACAAAAGCAAAUACACACUUUUUUUUUACGCGAAACAAACACGUGCUUCUAAAUUUUGGGUAAAUAUAAGCACAUUCUGUAAUUUUAAAUUAAUUAAUAAAAACAUUUGAAUUUUGACAAAUUUUCCAUUGAAAUUACUUUCCUGACUAGAUGAACUUAUUACUUAUCCUUAAUUUUUAACAAAUAAUAAAACUAAUGAUUUGAAUUUAUUUUUGAUUCAUUUAGUUUUUAUAAUUUUUAUAUUUAUCUUUUUUUAUCUUUAUAGUUGAUAAGAAGUGAAUUUUUUAGUUCCUAAAAUUUAUAUUUUUAAUUAUUAAACUUUAAGACUAAAAAAUUUACUUAUUCAACUUCAGAAACUAAAAAUUUAUUUAUUAAUAAAAAAAUAAGUUUAAAAACUAUAAAAAUUAAAUAUGUAAUUAAACAUUUAUUUUUGGAGGGUAAGAUCAAAGGUCCAUAAAAUUUGUCGUGAAACAAUAAUUCUCUAUAUAUCAUAAAAGAUGAUUAGUCUCCAUAUAAAAUUUUAUAAACUUUUAAAUUUAUGAAUUAGACGACUACUCUUAUAAUAUUCUUGAGAGGUCUUUAGUCUCAUUUGAUGUGAUUAUAAAAAUCGGUUUUUUACCAAGUAAUUUUAUCAGGUUUAUAAAAUCUGUAAGUGCUAGAGAGUAUUAGUUUUCACAUUAUUAGUUGUUCCCUUAUUUCCUAAUAAAGAUUGAACAAAUAUGAAUUCUUCAUCCCUUUACAAUUCUGCUAUACAAAUUUAAUUUAAUUUUAGCUUUUUCUUUAAUUUAUGAUAAUACAUACUGUAUCUUUACAAUAAAAAAAAGUGUUCGACUCCAUUUUUUAUGAAGAAAAAAUGUUAAAAAGAAAGCAAGAGUAAAACUGAAGCAAAAUAAAUGUAUUACAACAAAGCACAGCAAUCUUCAAAUUUGAGGUGUGUUCAAAACUUAAGGAAUAGCAAGCAAGAAACAAAAGGAUAAAUAAAAGACUGGAACCACAAUAAGUAGAUCUUAAACUGGAGCUACCAUUUGGUAACAUAGGUAACAUGUCAGGUAAAGGCAUUCGCAGUUCUCCCUGUAGAAAUAUAUUCUUCUACUAGAGGAUAAGGUGAAAUUGAGUUGUCAAAGUUCAGAUAUGCACUUUCCAUUAAUAAAAUUAAUAACUUGUUCAGAUCAAGAACAGCAGUUAGAGCUUCCAAAUUCUGCAGGAAUUCUUCUACAAUUGCUUUGUCACCAUCAACGAUACUAUUCACAGCUUUUAUAAAAAUUGCAGGAACUUUUAGUAUGUCGGCAACAUAUGCAAUAGCAGCUCCCUGGAGAAAAAGUUGAAAUGGGGAGUUAAGCCUAUAUUCCACAAAGGAAAGAUGAGAACAACUACUAGUUAUUCAGUCCUCUGCAAUUUAAUUGGGGAUUUGUUUCAUGAUACAAGAUGUGAUUUGUGAAUAUGUGGAUUCAUUCCAUUCCCAAUAGAUGAGUGGAAUAUCCCAAGGUAUAACACCAAUAAUCAGGUUACCUCCAUAUCUAUAACUGUGGCAUCAUUUGCAAUUAUUGAUGAUUCAUCCUGCUCUGUCAUAUCUAAAGAGCCACCAGUAGACAAUUUAGCCACCAGAAAUAUGCAUAAAUAUUGUUUAACAUUCAAGUUUUGCACAAAGACAAUGAACUCCUAGUCAAAAUGUCAAGCCAAGACAAUCAUACAAAGAUGAAAGAUAUUUUUGUGCUCAAAGGCACAAACUUCACAAGAUGCAUAAGCAAUUCUUCAAUCCAGGUAAUCUGGUUAACAAAUGACACAUAAUUCAGAUGAAAAAUUAUUUUGUGAUAUCAAGGGAUUUGGGUUGGCAAUAUGAAAUUAGAAUAAGACUAACUGUUAUCAAGAGUUUUGUUUUCUGCAGAAGCAUAUCAUUUUAUCAAAUAGUACUCACCUUUAGAUUAAGCUCCUUUACAAGGUUGGGUGUUUCAAAGACUUUACGUAAACCAAUUCCAUACAGAUCAAAAAUCUGCAAACAUCACUGACAUACACACAGCAAAACUUCUACCUCACUACAUUGCAAGCACGAAAAAAAGGUUAAAAAAAUAAAUGUGAAGGUUUAUAAAAAAAAUUAAUUUGAAAAUGAAAACAGGUAUCUAUUUUGCAUUCAUUUCACAAACCAAAUAUCUCAAGAAGUUUUAAAAUUUAAAAUCCACAAGUAUUGACCAAAAAAUAUUGAAAUAUGUUACUGUAAGUCCCUAUGCAAGUAGUUUCUUAAUAAGAUUCCUAACUGGGCUAAUUGCAAAAUUUAAAAGAAAAAUAGUAUUUAAUCCGCUUGAUUAAUUAGCCAACACAUUGGAAGUCUUCAAAACCCAACUUGACAAAACCCAACCCGCUUGUAUACUUAUAGCUAGUAUACAGGUCAACCACCUUACUCUUACUCUUGUUUUUCUUGAUUGUCGUAGGAGAAAAUAAAGCAUGAUGAGGUAUAUAAUGCUGAAAUCAUUAUAAUUCUUUUCCUAGGUAAAAUUAUAUUAUUGGAAGGUAAAAAGAGAUAAUGCAAAAAGAAGGACAAAGUAUACCACACAGAUAGAACCAAAGCCAAAACUAGAAAAAAGGAUAUAUUUUAACACAAAAAGGCAACAUAUAGACAUUUUGGAACACAAAACUAGAAAACCAACAAUUCUAACACUAUUGCUUGGGACAAGAUCGUGGCCACCUUGAAGCCACCAGCGGUGCCUGCAUUGAUGAUCAAGUAUGGUUGUAAUGCUAGAACAGCAGCAUAUGUUGCAAGAGCAGAUGGUAUCGUGCCUAUACUAUCAACCCCUGGAGGAAAUGGACCAGGACUCACCAAAUGAAAACUAACAAUAAAAAAAAAAUACCACUUUCUUUAUUUUUGUUCCUUGACGACGUGUAGUAGGGGCAUGUUAUAGUUAUUCUAACACACAUUCAAACCACCCCCCAUGCAACAAAAUCAGGAAACAAAGAAAGUUUAGGCUUCAUUAAGCUUAGCAGAAACUUUUAUAUAUAUAUUUGGUCGUAACGGUUUUGAUUGGGAUAGCAACCCAUUCAUUAUUCCCAGCUCAUCUAAUUUCUUCCAAAUAAUCAAUACAUCAUAAACCUAAUUAAAAACACAAUCCAUUGCAAUUUUGCCCAACACUUGUGAAGAAUAAAAAACGAAUUGAACUAUCGAUAACUUUAAAAGCUACCUAAACUUUUUGAGUAGUUAGAAGUGGUGCAGUAAGCAUCAAAUUGAAAAGAACAAACAUCUUACCCAAAGUUGGAUCAUUCCCAGCCCAAAUCCAGUUCAUAUUGAGAUCUUUGAAUGUCCCAUGAUAACGGACCAAAGGAACCCCCUGUGGAAACCUACACCAUUGUGCAUAGGUAGACACUUCAAUCAAUGUAGAUACGUGAAAAGCAAAGGUCCACUUUUCUUCAACAUCCUCUAUAAAAAUUAGGUUAAAAUAUACUUUUUUCUUCUUCAUAAAAUUGAAAAUAUACUUUUUUUCUAUAAAAAAUUUUCCCGUAAAUGUGUCGAUUUUUUUGCCGAACCAUGAUUAGGUUGUUUCCAAUUCGGAUAAACGAACCUUGCUUGAAGAAAAAAAAAUGACAUUUUUUAAUUUUGCAUAUAUGAAAACAACAACAACAACAACAACUUAUCCCACUAAGUGGGGUCGGCUACAUGGAUCAACUUUCGCCAUAAUGUUCUAUCAAGUACCAUAAAGCGUACUAAAAUUUUUAUAACAAUAAAAAUAAAUAUUUUUAAUUUUACGAGAAUGAAAAAUAUAUUUAAACCUAAAAAAUAAAUAGAUAAUUAAUUAAAAAGGUUAUUUUAACAAUUUUUAAUUUCAAAUUUCACUUUUAAUUUCUACACAAAUAUUGAUGAGUCUUAUUAGUCUUAUACUUUCAUUACCUUACCAAUUUUUAUCCUUACUAUAAAAUAUCACUGUUAAGGGAUGAUGCUAAGAAAGGUUGGCAACUUGCAAAACUAAAAUUAACUAAAAUUCUAAGGGUAUAUGCAUAAAACUAAAAAUUAUUUCCUGUAGUCUUUAUUUUAUAUAUAAAAACUAAUUUAGGAUGUUUUUUUAUAACUAUUAUAUUUUCAUAAAUAUCCCCUUAAUUAUAAGUCAUUUUUAUUAUUUUAUUAAAUAAUUAAAAUAUAUUAAUAUAAUUAACUCCUUGAAAGUAUAACUUUUUCUUGUGUAACGAGAAAAUCUAACUCAUUUAAUUAUGUAAAAUGUAUGAGUUGUUGUAAAUCUUGAGUCAUAGGAUGAAAAAAAACUUUGUUAUGGAAACAUUUUAAGAACAAUCUUUUUUAUCUUUUUCACAUGCAAUCAAAAUUAAAACAACAAUUAUAUCAAUAUUAAUGAAGAGAUAAAUUAAAAGUUUUAAAGCUAAUUAUAAAAAUAUUUGAAAUAAGAAUAAGAAUAUGUUUUAUUAAUGCUAGAAAUAAUUUUAGAAAGAACAUAUAAAUUUUGUGCAAAUUUAAUACUGUUAAAUAAAGUAAUUAAAUUUCUUAAUUCUUGUUAUUGGUUAAAUUAAUUCUUAUAAAGAAAGACUGGAGAGACUAAUUUGUAAGUACUAAGUAGCAUAGCAUCAUACAGUGCUUCUUUUCCAGCAGCGAGGUAGCUAAAAUAAAAAGAAAGGAAAAUGUGAUUAACUAAUUAGAGUGAGUGAUCUUAAACCCAAAGAAAAUGAAAAAGAUCAGAGUGAGAAGGGUCCUCUGUUGACAAUUAAUGGGAAGUGCCUCCGUCUGCCUAGCUAUUAUUCAUUCAAAUUCCAUACUAAUAUUAACAUUUAGACCAUCACAACAUGACAUAACAUAGCAUCGUAAUAUUUAAGGUACGUACCAACGACGAAUAUGAUUGGUCCCCAAGCGCAGACAAUACUAUAUAUUUAGCAGUUUAUCACUAAUUAAGAACAAGUAAUUUGAUUUACAGAUUAAACAAUAUGAUUGAAUGAUAAAGACCGUAAAUUAAACAAAUAAAAACAUUUUUUACGAGAAAUGAACACGUUAUUACUCUCGUAUAUAUAUUUUCGGCAAGACCAAAGGACCAUAAAAAUAUAAUUUUUAAGUUUCUGGUGAAGCAAUAACUAUUCUCAAUGUAUAAUUUUAAAGAUGAUUAAAUAUAUUUUUAUCUUUAAAAUAAAUUGUUUAACAAAAAUGAUAUAAUUUUUAUUUUUAUUAUGAAUUAAAAAUACACAACAUUUAUGCAUUUUUAAGAUUAAAAAUGACUAUUUAUUUUUUUUUAUAAAAAAACAUAUUUUGAAGCUAAAAAUAUACGUUAAUUUUUUUUAUAUAGUAAAAAUCAUCUUUUAUCUAUUUCAUUUCAGAACCGUGCUAAUUUGUACGAAAAGUUUUCACACGAACAAGUACGAAAGCCACAUGUUAUUUGAUUGGACAAAAAUAGUAGAUUAAAAAGUAAAAGAAAGAAGUGAAACAGAAAUCAUACUGGUAAUUAUAAUUCGUAUGUGAUUUCGUGAGUACAUUUUCGUAACAAAAAGCAUUUUCCUUUAUUUUGAUGUAAAUUUAAAUUCACUUUAUAACAAAAAGGAUUUGAGUUAGUGUCUUAAUAAUACUUAACUGAUUCAUGAAAUUGCAAUUUAGUCUUUGCUUUUGGAUGACUCAUAAUGGAUUGAGAAGUUCUUACUCUCAUUUUUUAUGAUUAAAAAAAAGAAGAAAAAAUAUAACAAAUAAUCAUAAUUCAUAAUAAAUUUAUUGAUUUUUAUGAUGAUUAUUUUAAAAUUUAAAUCAAUAAUAAUUUAUUAUUAGAUAAUAAUAUAAAAUAAUUUUACAUAACUGAUAGAUGAACAUUAAACUCUUAAAAAAAAACUAGUUUCUAUCCAACAAUUUUAACAACUUUGUGAAAUCCCUAAAGGUUGAAACGAAUAUUCAUUCUCUGUUGCUCCUUUAUUUCUUCAUGAGGAUCGAGCAAAUAUUGGUCCUUCUCCGUUUCAUACUGUAUAAUUUUAGUUUUAAUUUUCUCUUUAAUUUAUGGUGCAAUAUAUCAUUAUUAUUAAUUAAAAUAUAUUAAAUAAGCAGUACUCAAAAUUUUGUGACUUUGAUUAAUUAAUUUUUUUAUGGAAUCGAUUAAAUUUUCUCUUUAAAUAAAUUUCAACCAAUAAUUUUAAAAAAAGCAUUAGAAAGUUUAUUACCAGCAUAUCUCAAGAAUGAGUUAUAAAUUACCACAUAGUUGACAAUGAAUUUGCAUGUGUUGUACAUACAAGAUACAACAACAAUUUUCAAUCAACAUAAAUGUAUUACAAGAAAACACACAGGAUUCUUAAAAAAUGAGGUGUAUAUGUUCAAAACCAAAGGAUCAGUAGUAGGGCAAGAAACAAAAGGAUAUAUAAAAGACUGAAACCACAGUAAGUAGCUCUUAAAAUGGAGCCACCAUUUGGUAACAUAGGAAACGUGUCAGGUAAAGGCAUUUCGCAGUUCUCCCCGUUGAAAUAUAUUCUUCUCGGAAAUGCCCAUCCAUUACUUACUGUGAAAGAAUUUGGAUCUUUAUCCAAUAGUAUUUCUGUAGUCACAAGACCCACUCCAUCCUUAUCAGAAUGCACUAGCUCAUUGUUGUAAUAAUCUAUCCCCCAAAAAAGGGAAACUCCAUCUACCAGAAAUUUCUUUCUUAAUUAGUGUCAAUGCAACGAAUGUAGUCUAUACUUUGUCAUGAACGGGUUAUGUUAUAUUCUAAACAGAUUAUGAUCAUGGGUGACAAUAAGUGUGUUUGGAUGAAGAUCUAAAAAAUUGAUUUUGUAAUAUGGUUUGAUCAUGGGUGACAAUAAGUGUGUUUGGAUUUGGAUGAAGAUCUAAAAAAUUGAUUUUGUAAUAUGAUUUAUAUAUUUGGAUAUUUUUAUUAUAAAAUCUAAGUUAAAAGUAAAAUUUUACAAAUUUUUAAAUCAAGUGAUUUAAUGUUGUUUUAACUCAACAUCAAAUUAAUUUUGAAUUUAAAAUUAAUUUUAAAUCUUUUCUAAUGUAAAAUCAAAUAUAUAAAAAUAUAUCUAAAAUCAAUUAUGGAUGAAAAUUAAAUUUUCAAAAAAGUGAAACCAAAGACUCACUAAAUCUAAUGUUUCACGUUGUAUAAAAAAUUUAAAUACUUCUUUUGAUUAAAUAUUAUUGUUAAGUACUGAAGUGUAUACAAUAAGAAAGUACCUUGGAGCCCAAGGGUGGGAAGUUUAGUGCUGUUGAAGCUGUAAGUUCUCGCUUUUUGGGUGAAACCAGGAUGUUGAACGAGUACGUUCCAGUUUGAGUAGUUUCUGUUGUAGUUGUAGUUAGAAAUUGUAAGCUUCACCCUCCAUUGGUUCAUAUAAUUGUUCUUGAAAUGCCAAUGGACUCGAACUGGGCACAUGUGGUCGGUGCAUUCAAUCAUUUCAUCAAUUGUGUUGUCCUCAUUAGACCGUGACAAGGAACUAGACCUGGUUAUAUAAGCAUACAGAUGAAUAAGGAGAGAGGAUGAUAAUAACGGCAUGCUCACAAAUGUAAGCAAUUGAAAUGCACCUUAUGCAAGUUGCUGUACUUUUAUCUGCUUCUCUGCAUCCACAACUGCAAUUACGGCAAGAUGUGAUGGCGGGGUUGUAAAAUGAUGAGAGGGAAACACAGCAUACCGGUAUUGUGUUUGCUAAGAAACUGGAGUAUGCACAUGUUGACUUCCAAGUUCCUGAAAUGCAAAAAUGUUAAAUCUGUGCUAAGUACACUAAUCAUAUAGUGUCAUUUAAAUUCAAAUCAUAGAUUGUCAUGCUAAGAUUGUUGAGUGUGACAAUAAUUACUUUUAAUUGAUCCACAGUGAAAAAUCUUUACAUUUAUUGUACAUGUCAUUUAAAUUCAAAUCAUAGAUUGUCAUGUCAUUUAAAUUCAAAUCAUAAAUUGUUAUGCUAAGAUUGUUGAGCUUGUUAAUCAUAGGAUAAUUUUUAAUUGAUUAAUAGUAUAAAAAUCUUUAGAUUUACUGUGCAUGACUUCAUGGAAAUUAAAAUCUAAAUCAAAUCCUUUCUUAAAAUGCAUCUAGAUUGUGUGUGUCUCAUGCUUCUUUAAUUAUUCUAUCUGAGGGAGCUCUCUUUGAGUGCGACAACAAAAGAAAAACCAUUUGUUGCAUGAGAAUAUUACAUGACAUAAGAAGUGUAACUUACUGAGAACAGGAACUUGUCUUAGUCCCCCAAAAUCUGAGGACACUGAGAGAUCAGUGUCAAGAAGGGGGCUACAAGUGUAACCAGGACCUGGGGCCAUCAAUGUAAGAUUAAUAGGUGCUUGUCCAAGUGGGUUAUCUCCCACGUUGCGCACUUCAAGUUCAAAUGAAGAGAAUGCAUAGAAAGGAUCAAUAGACCAGGGAGAGAGGAGGCCACCACGGCAACAAUGCUCUGACCUGUUUUGUGAGGCAUCUAGAGAGAGAUCAACUAUGGUGGGAUCUUUCUUGCAUGAAUGUGGCAUCUGAGAGCCGCUGUAAGAUGAACAAUUCCCUCUAUCAGUUGCUAUGGCACCACUCAUUGACCAUAUCACUUCAUUGUUAGCCCACGUCCAUCCUAGUUUCCACCCAGGUUUGUCUACAUGCCGAUAUUGAUAGUAGUUUUGAAGGGUCACCCUUGCCUGCACAAAACAUUCAAUCUAGAUUAUUCAUAAUAUAUAUUAUAUUCAAAACAGUAGAAGAACUUGAUCAAGUAAUUAGAGUAGUCAAAAGAAUCAACUACAAGUGCCUCUAUAUAUUCAGACCAAAUUUAUAGUCUUUGUCUAUAUAGUAUACAGUGAUCAAAAUGACCAAGUUGAUUGGAAAUUUUGUACUUUCAGUAUUUAUCAAUAAUUUCUCAAGCUCCCGGGGAACUUUUGCUACACUUUGCUGAGCAUAACUGUGAAGCUACUAAAUAUGUGGUUCAAAAAUCAAAUUUCAGCGUGUGAUUCUACUAACCAGAUAUCCAUUAUCUGGAGUACGUUGGAAGAUGUCAAAAGUUACGGAAAUGUUCCCAUUAGGAUCCAAUGGGUCAUAACAAUCUGCAGAGAAGGUUGAGAACGAUGUAAAUGAGCAAAGGAGAAAAUAUAGAAGAAGAAAAAAAGCAGCAGAUAAAGGAGAAGUGCAUUGCCUGAUAAAGUGCAGAGAGCAAGUAAUAGUAUUAUCGACUUCAGCGUAGGAGAAUGUACGCGAUGAACAUUCAGCCCCAUUUUUUCCGUUGACAAUGGGUAGGUUUGGAUGACUUUUAUUUAAUAAGUUGUGUAUCAAUCUAGAGAAACCCGUUAUCUAUUGCUUCUUAUUAUAGUACUCGGAUCAAACAAGGGGUCAUUGGAAAUAUCAAUUACUUAUUAUGACUAGACAAAUCCUGAAUUUGGCCAGUAUUAUAGGAACCUUUCAUAGAUUCCACUCUAAUGCUUGCUAACAAGCUACAGAAUAAUAUUUUGAGCAAAUUACAAAUAAAUCCUCUUGACCAAAGCUUGCUAAUGCACCAGACUUGGUGAAAGGACCUUUCAUGUUUUCUUGACCUGUCAUUACUUAUUGAGACAGCUUUUUAUGCAUUGUUGUUCCUGGAUAUGGUACUUGUCCUCCUUUAGCUACAACGGAAACGAUGCACAAGGAAGAAAAUCAAGUAAACUUGGUCGUCAAAAGUAAUGUUGAUCCAAGUUCACAAGUGAUAUAAUCAAAUUAGAAUAUAUAAAUAAAAAAUAAUUUUCACUUUAUAAAUUAAUUUUGUUGUUAGAUUGAGUUAAAUUUAUAAUCAACAUUCUAAGAUGAGAUUAAAAUUUAUUCUAACAAUUUUUGUUGGACUUAUAGUGUUAUCCACUAUACCAUGGGAACUAGUACUAUAAACUUUAGAUUUCAAAGAUGUUAAAAUCUCACAUUAACUAAUAAUAUGAUUAAAUUAAAAUAUGAUUGACACUCAUAUAAUUUAUAUUUUAUAAUAUUGAAGAUCUUAAGUCAAUUAUUAAUAUGACCAUCAUAGUAUAUAUAUCUGAAAACAAUUUUUAUUUAUUAACUAAUUUUAUAGGAUUGAAGUAGGUUGAAACCCAUAUGUUAAAAUGAUAUUAAAAAUGAACUUUUUAUUAAUAGAGAUAAACAAGAUAAUUUCAUCAUUCCACAACCAAUAAUAACUUCUAUCAAUAAUAUUUAAUAACAAAUUUUAUUUUAAAAAUAUAUUUAAAAGAUAUAAAGUAAUUAUAAAUUAUUAUUUGACAAAUUAUUAUAUUGAGGGAAUAUAUUCUUUAUUGACACUUGCAAAAUUACUUUUUUUAUUACAAAAAUUAUAUCUAUUUUUGUCAUUUGGAUUUAUACAAGAGAUUAACUGAUUUUGAGGAGUUAAGCCGAAGAGUAUUGAUAACUCCUCUCUUUUCUUGCCGUGAUGAAACUCCAAUAUACAUUAAUGAAUGAGGAGCGAAUAGAUGUUCAAGCUAUUGCAUAUAUGAGAUUAUUUCGAAAGUUAUAAGUCCCACACAUUGUUUGGUUUUGCAUGCCUUUAAGUGUUUAUAUAUUAAGUUUUGUUUUAAACUUUUAAAUAGACUAGUAGAGAUACGACAUACAUGUACGAGACUGGACUAAGUGGACUUAGUGUCACGCAAAUAAGGAUCUUUUAGAUUUGUUUUUGCAUUAAUUAUUUUCUAAAAUUAAAUUAAAUUUCAAAUUUGAGUUUAUCUAAAAAUGAAUUUUUUAUUUGACUGUUUUUUUUUUUUACCAAGUCUUCCUUAGAAAGUGGUCGGGUUUAAAUGUGGGGUUAGAGGAAUUAUGUAAUGUUCAAAAAUUAUUUGAAAAACUCUUCUAUAUCAACCUUUAUUGGAUUUAUCAUCAUUAAAUUUUGUCCAUUUUAUUGUCCUAAUUAAUAUUAACAAGAAAGUCUAUAAAUUAUGAGGACUCAUGUUUCACGCGAAUAAAUUCUUAAGAAUAAUGAGAAUUUCAAAUGUUUCAAGUUUGUUUUGUGAUUUCUAAGAUUUAUUUGUUAUUUUGGUAUGUCCUUGAAGCCCAAUAUUUAUUUUGAAAUGUAAAAUUUUACACACCAAAAAUAAUGGUUGAGCUUGAUAUUUUAAUUUCCCUUGUUCUGAGGCAUGGCUUCUUGCCUUUGUCCACUAGCUGCCGAACCUUCAAAAGGACAUUAAAUAUCUAAAAGGAUUGGGAUUGGUCUAUUUAUCUUUGGAAAACUAGAUGUGUUUAAAUAGUGUAAAUGAAGUCUCCAAAUCAUAUCAAUUGAUCAUGAAAACAUAAAUUAUGGGCAUGCAUAUUUAAUUCUUGCAACGGAUUUUAUCUUUAUUUUUCAUUUCUUAUUUCUGAUGUUUUGCAAAGCAUGUUAUAACCUCUAUAAAAAAAAAAGUCCAAAAUCUACUAACAAAAGGAAAAUAUAUAUGCUACUUUUUGGCGAGCAUUUUCAUUUUUCAAAACAGAGAAGAUGAAUAUAAAAAACUACCGAGUUCUUUCUGUUGAAAACAUAUUGAAUGAGAACGAUAAGAACAGUUCCUCAUUGGGGACGGCGACUGCUUCUGUCAAGUAGUCCUUUCUGUUUAACAUAUACCCGAAAUAAGAUACAAAUGUACACUCGCACAGAAAGUAUUGGAUUCCAAAAGAUAAAAACAUAACAUGCAAUAAAAAGAAAAACAAUUGUCUUCAGUAUAAAAAUAAUGAAUUUGAUGGUUAUGUAUUAAUAUAAAACAAUUUAUACUAUCAAUCUAUGAAAAAUCAAUGUUAUUAUGAUUUUUAAUAUAAUUAUUAUUAAUAAAUUUAUUAUAUAUUAAUUGGAUGAUAAUAUAAAACUGUUUUAUAUUAUUUUAUAUAAACUAUUUUUUUAUUGCACAGAAAUAUUUUUUUAUUGGACUAUAAUGAACCUUUUUCAAAAUGAAUUGUGAUGGUCUAGUGGUCUAGUUAUCAUCUACGCUAACAUAUUUACAUAUUAUGUUUCACAAAGCAUAUACCUGAAAUGUUCUCCUAUAUAGCUGCUAUUUAUGAUGAGCCAGCGGUACCCAAGUACAAUACUUCAAGAGGCUUGGAUUCCAAAACCAAAAGGAUAAAGAAAUGUGAUUUAUAUUAAAAACUAAAAGUAUAUAAAAGAAUUCCAAAAUUAUAAAUAUGAUAGUAUAAUUUUUUUAUUGGACGAUGAUGUACUUUUAAAGCAAAUUGUCUAGUGGUCUCGUUAAUUAGAAUUCAAGUGUAGAUAUUAUGUUUGGUGUUGGUGACAGUGUCAAUUGUGGAGAGCAAGAAGGGACAUAUUCCCUUGGUUGUGUCCAGAACUUAUCCAUGACCUAGAUUUAUACGCAGCUACACUAUCCAAUCGCUGAGCUCCCAUGCCCCAACAACUAUGUGAUGCUACAUCACUGCCUAACCAGCGGAUUUUCUUUAGGGAGGGACAGCUGGGCUUCCAUAACUUGAUAAUUAAUUUCAACAAUGUUAUUUGCACCGUACCAAAAUAAUACAUACAUAAAAAAAAUUAUAAAACUAAUCUUAAAUCAUCAUUAAUUCAUUUAAAGAUUUUUUUUUUCAUCAUUAAUAUCAUAAGAGAUAUAAAAGUGAAAAAAGUAAUUAAUAUUAUAUUGAAGAAUUAACAUAUAUAAUAAUUAUUUUAAGAUAAUUUUUUUCCCUUACACAAUAAUUCUAAUGAGAUGAAAGGAGUAUUUCUGUUGCUAUUUACAAGACUCAAUUACUUAAUUCAUUAAAAUUAAAAAAAAUAUUAAUUUAAUUGAUAACAAUAAACUUAUCCUAAAUUUAUAUACUUCUUCAAAAAUAUUAUUAUUAUUAUUAUUAUUAUUAUUAUUAUUAUUAUUAAUGUUUUGCUCUUUUAAAUAUAUGCUAAUAUAACAUAUCUCUUAUUUAAUUAGAGAUAUUUUUAGUCUAAAAAUAAUUAAUGCAUUAAAUAAUAUGAAUUGAAUCUUAUAUAUAAAAAAGUAUAUCUUAUAAAUAGGAAACAAGUUCGUUAGGGCUUAGUUUUAUGACAGUUGAUUUCAUUAAUUACAUAUUUGAGCCAUCUAAUUUGAAUCUUGUUGGGAGUGAUAACAAAAACUGCUAGAGUAGUCCAUAAGAGUGUGUUUGGUUUGUAUUUUUAUUUCCUAUUUUCAUUUUCAAAAGAUUAGAAUUCUGGAAACAUGUUUGGUUUAACCAUCCCUGUUUAAAAAAAUUCUUGUUAUGGUGGCUAACCACAAAGAAGACAAUCCUCCAACAACACUCAAAGUAGAAGAGAAAAGAUUGGGAUGAAAGGAGAAGAAUAACAUAAUUAAGCAACCAAUUCUCAAAACCCUCAAAUAGAAACCCUAAAAUGAAGAAUUAUCAUCCUCAUUAAAGAAAUAAGUAGAACAUAGAAAAUCCUAAAACUCUCAUUAAUGGACUCAUGAAGCAAAAAAAUGAGAAAAAAUGAGACAUGAAGCAAAUCUCACCAAGAGAUUGUCAAUUGGGAAUGGUGUUGUGGCAGUAGUGGUGCAGCGGAGCAAUGGUAGUGGUGUGGCGGAGCAGGAUCGACGAAGAGAGGUGUGAGGCAAACUGGUUUGAGAGAGGAAAAAAUGUGAUUGAAAGAGAGAGAGAGAGAGAGAGAGAGAGAGAGAGAAGCGUAUGAAACUGAGUUGGGUUUAUUGUCUGUGGAGAGAAGAAAAAAAGAAAGAGAGAGAGAAGCAUAUGGAAAAAAUUGGAAGGGGUGAAAAAAAAAAAAGAAACUGAAAACACUGAAAAUGAGAUUUUAUUGAUUUCAUUUUUUGGUUGGUUUGAAAAAAUAUUUUUAUUGAAAAUAUUUUCAAAAAUUCAACCAAACACAUUUUCGUCACCAUUUUUUAUUUCUAGUGAAAAUGAAAACAAAAAACAACAAAACCAAAUACCCCUAAUUUUGCAGGUUUUGAAACAAGUAACACUGUGCCAUGUUUUUCAAGAGUUAUUAAAUCAAAAUUUAAAAAUUAUCAACCUAGCCAGACCAAUCAUUUUUUACACCUCAAUUUUCUUAGAUAGUUUCGCCACCCCCACUUAUUGAAUAUUGAAUAGUACAAAGGGCUAAUUCAAAAAGAGAACAUAUUUUUGUCAUCUAUGGGAGUAAUUCUUUGAUAUGCACGAUAAAUUAUGGACAUUCAAAUCAGUCGUGCUAUGCACUAGUCCAUAUAGUACGAAUGGGUAUUGCAUGAAGCUGAGUUUGUAUUUUACCAUACACGAGAUAAAAAAAAUGUUAUCCAAUUGGAAAAAAUGAAAGAAGAAAAUAGAAUAAUUUAAAAUAUUGUUUGACAUGUUUUAAAAUUCAUGUAAUAGACGCAACACUAUGCCUAAUUAAGUAGUUAUGCCUUUAUACAAGUCAAAUAAUAAUUUAUGAAACAAGUUGUUUGAUGGAUGAUAACUCUUAACGAACACUCCUUGCUUCCAUUAUUGCCCAUGAUCAGUUGUUCAUAAAAGAAUUAUUAAAUAGAUGUUUCGUCAUUGCAUAUACUUUCAGGUACUUGUGUACCAAAAAAAAAAAAAACAAGUUACUUAAGGUAUCCUCUAGCCGGCAUAGUCCUACAUCCCAAAUUUCUUCAACUUUUUUGCCUCUGCCUGUUGAUCCCUGUAAUUGUAUGCAAAAACAACAAACGGUCCAAAAUAAAGAUGGUGUGUGCCUAACAAAAUCCAUAUUCAUAUUAAUUUAUAUUUACAACUUUUUCUUUGCUCCUCAGUCCUUAUUCAUUCAACAAUUGUCCAACUGCUGGUAUAUUGUAUUUCCAAAGACAGUGAUUUGAAAAAUGUAUGCCAUAUUAUUAUAUUCUCUUUUUUUAUGUUGCCAUCAAGGCGUACAGCACAUCUAUCUAAAUUACAACUGAAGUGAUAAACAAGCCCGGCAAGGGAUAAUUAACAUUUUUUUUUCUUUCCAUGGCAUUCUAUAAUUUUCAGAUUCAUAAAUAAUCCACAUCAUACAAAGUGAUUUCUUAAAAGAUAAACUAUGUCAGUAACAAUUUCCAUGAAUAAAAAAUCUUAUUGUACUUAGUUUUUGACCCGUCACAAACUUGAGACAAUUAUGCUGUUUCACUAGAUGGCUGCAAGAGUGUAGAAGAUGAGCCUAAAGGCUCAUGCACAACUGAAUUGGAAGAAACAGAUAUGGGAUUUGCCUCUAACUGUAACGUGAUACUACCCAGUAUUUCACUUAAAAUUUUCUUGAAUUCGUCUUCUUUAACUGUCUUGGUGUCAUCUGCAUUCACCAUCUUAAAGGCUUCAACAAUAACCUUAUCAAUCUGUAAAAUCAAACACGCAGGUUUUUAAUCUCUGGCUCAGGAAGAUGCAAUGAACAUAAACUGUAAGGCAUCAUUGUAUCUCAUGCUAUGCUGGCAUGACCUGAAAAACAUAAACACUAGUAGUAGCACUGGUUCAUGCCAACUAAGAUUUUUGAGCUUUUAUUGAGUAUCAUAAAAUAAAUUGCACCAGCCUCAAUUUAUAAACAAUAGUUUUAAUUAAGAACAUUUCAAUAAAUAUGUGACAAUCUCUACUAUAAGCACUAGCAGUAGCACUGACUCAUGCCAAUAGUGAUUUUUGAGCUUUUAGUGAGUAUCAUAAAACAAAUUGCUCCAGAAUCACUAAUAAAUGAAGGUACUAAGAACACUUCAACAGAACAUGUGACAAAUCUCCUAUAUUUUCAGCCUAGUUUAGUUCUUUAUUCAGCAGCAUACAAAAUUCAAUAGAGUGAAAGCAAUUGACAGCUAGAUGAAUCUGAAGUAAGUUGGAAUGUGGAUGGUUGACUGUGUCUGCAUGCAUUGGCAACAUACCUCUUCAAUUGCACCAACUGGAGGUAAACCAGCAGAUGGAGACACCAGAUCUAGUGCCACCUGUUGGUUUUGUGGAGGAAAUUAUAAAAAACAGAGGAGAGAAGAGAGACAAUACGUAUGCAGAGAAAAUAGAAUUAUUUUAUUCUAAUUCAAAUUGUUCUCAGCAGCGAUACAAUAAAUAGCAAAAGAUAAACUAAUUAGAUAACAAGAUAUUAGCAAAACAAAAUAUUAAAACUAACUUGCUCCUUAAAGAUAAGGAAUCACUUAUUGACUAGGCUAAUCCAUUAAAACUGACUUACCCCUAAAAUAUAGAAAAAUUAACUUAUUUACUAAAUCCUAUUUUAAAAAUUGAAAAAUAAAAUAUUAUGCAGUUACAAAAGUAUAUCUUCAACACUCCUCCUUGCUUUUGGAACUGCAAACUCCAAUUCUUUGAGUUCAAGUUUGUUGAUAGGUAAUGACUUUGUAAACAUGUCAGCCAGUUGAUCUUUAGACUUACAAUAAAUUAAGUUCACUUCACCACUUUGUUGCAUCUUUAUCAAAUAAUAGAACUUGAUGUUGAAAUGUUUAGUCUUCCCAUGACACACGGAAUUGUUUGCAAUAGCAAUGGCUACUUGAUUGUCAACAAAAAUUCUAGUUUUGUUCUUUUGAGCAAAUAGAAUGUUUGGCCUUGUUGUAGUGAGAUACAUUAGACAUCCAAUCAAGCUCCCACAAUAUCUUUCAUCAAUGUUAUCAACACCUUCUUCCUUGUUGAACUUCACCUUUUGAUUCAUUGGUGUGCUAACAGAUUUGCAUUCCUCCAUUUGAAACUUAUUCAAAUUUUCUUUUGCAUAUUUCCUUUUUUUCAUGUUUAGCAUUCUUUCAAGAUGGCAAUGAUCAAGUCUCUUGUGCCAGAGUUCCGUGGGUGUGACUUGAGUGAAAUAGGUUGUAUGCUCCUCCUCUGCUGGAUCAAAUGAAAAACUUUUACCUUUCAUUUUAACCCUUAGAACUUCCGGCCAAAAUUGUCAUAGAUAAAGCAAUGUUGAUGUUCAAAGGACACUUUAAAUCCCUUUUUAAUCAACUGACCUACGCUUAGCAAGUUUUGGUCAAUGUUAGGUACAUAAAGAACAUCUGAUAUUAAUUUGAUACUUGAACACGUUGAAAUUGUAACAGUUCCUUUUCCUUUUACAGGAAUAUAGUCACCAUUCCCAAUUCUAACCUUUGAGACACUAGUUGGCUUCAAAUCCUUGAAUAGAGUCUUAUCAUUUGUCAUGUGGUUCGUACAACCACUAUCAAUCAACCAACUUUCACUUGAUUCACUACUCAAGAAGCAUGUGGCCACAAACAGUUGGUCCUCUUCUUCUUGAUUAACAAUCUAAGCUCCCUCAUCAUGGUGAUUUUUGUUGGCGCAGAUCACCGCUUCAUGCCCUAUCUGGUUGCACUUGUUACAUUUUGCAUCUGGUCUCCUCCAACAUCUGAAAGGUGCAUGACCUUUUUUGCCACAAUGCUGACAAGGUGGAUAAUUUUUCUUUUUAUCCUUACCUUGGUUGUUUGCACUGUUUUCGCUGCUUGUUGGUUGAUUCUUCUUGAAAAAAUCCUUUUUGCUUUCAUCAAUUUCAUGAUGUUUGGCGGGCAAAGCACCUUCGACAACACGAUCUUGCCUCAUCAACCUUCGCUGCUCUUGAGCUUGCAGGGCAUGUAGCACUUCUGCCAAUGUGAUUUUCGACAGAUCCUUUGUGUUCUCCAAUGAAGCUAUAGAUGCUUCAUACCUCUCCGGCACCGUUACCAAAAUUUUAUCUACAAUUCUCGAAUCAGCAAAAUCACUUCCCAACAACUUUAUCUUGUUGGCAAUACCCAACAAUUUGUUUGAGUAUUCUUUGAUUGUCUCUGACUCUUGCAUCCUUUGAAGCUCAAAUUCCCUCCUUAAAUUCAGCACUUGCAUGCUUCGUAUUCUAUCAUCUCCAGCGUAUUCCUCUUUCAGAUAAUCCCAAAUUGCUUUGGGUGAUUUAAGAGUCAUGAUUCUGAUGAAUAUCAUUUGUGAAACACCAGUGAACAAACAUGAUCUCGCUUUUGCCUUCUUCAUCUUUCUUUCCUUGUGAUUUUUAAUUUGGGCCAUGGUGGGAUUUUCAGGCAGCGGAUAUAUUUCAUAAUCCUUUUCCACAGCAUCCCAUAAAUCCAAAGAUUCCAUGUAGGAUUGCAUUUUCACUUCCCAAAGAUCAUAAUUCUCUCCAUCAAAGAUUGGAAGAGUUAUGUGGAAAAAACUUGCUUCACCUUCCAUGGUACAAGUCCCGUAAGAAUAAGGCUCUCGAUACCAAUUGUUGGUUUUGUGGAGGAAAUUAUAAAAAACAGAGGAGAGAAGAGAGACAAUACGUAUGCAGAGAAAAUAGAAUUAUUCUAUUCUAAUUCAAAUUGUUCUCAGCAACGAUACAAUAAAUAGCAAAAGAUAAACUAAUUAGAUAACAAGAUAUUAGCAAAACAAAAUAUUAAAACUAACUUGCUCCUUAAAGAUAAGGAAUCACUUAUUGACUAGGCUAAUCCAUUAAAACUGACUUACCCCUAAAAUAUAGAAAAAUCAACUUAUUUACUAAAUCCUAUUUUAAAAAUUGAAAAAUAAAAUAUUAUGCAAUUACAAAAGUAUAUCUUCAACACCACCUGCAGAUAGUCCUUUGAUAUUUUUACGUUGCGAUCUUUCGGCAGAUUCUCUAAAGCUAAGUUCAACGUCUGCAUCACGCAAUAGAGUGGUAAAUUUCAUGUAUGGAUGUUUAAAAAAAGUAAAUUCAAAACAAGAAAGAUAUCGCAAUGAAUCACAAUAAAAUAAACCCUGUCUAAUUCAAACUUGUUGGAUAAAAGUCUCUUGACACCGCGUCCAUCAAAUGUGUUUUCACUGUGGGCAACAAUGACAGGUUUCUCUUUAAGAAAAUCAACCACGCUCAAUGCCACUUUCUUAAAUUCUUCCAAAAAUGUCUCUUGAGCAGCAGGCUUGUCCAAAGCAGGGCCAGCUUGAGAUAGUGCUGGAUCCACAAUGUUGUUGAAAACCUUGAUGAAAAAAAGACAAACCAGGAGGGUAAGGAAAUGAAAGAAGGUUGAGACAUAUUUCUAAAUGAAAUCUAUUUUAACCAUGUUUCGAUCACACAAAUUCUAGUUUCAAAAACAUCUUUCAAGGACACAAUAGUUGCAUUUACCCAAGAAUCUGAUGUUGGAGGAAUUCCUUGAUCAACAGUGAGUCUCCCAAAAGCUUCAAUCACAUGUUCACGAAGGGAUCCACUAGGGGACUCAAUCUGAGAAAAAAUGGAUGCCAUUUCUGCUUCAUAACUUGGACCAUUAACAAACUCAAGAAGAUCUUCCCCAUCCAUGCGAAGUAUAACAAUAGGGUCUUGCUUUAGUCCAGCAGCCAUGCCCAAAAGAAUGUCCGAGAGAACCUCUUUGAACUCAGUCUUGCUCACUUUUUCUUGCUUGCCAUGGGUGAAUUCAUUCAAGACCUAUAGGACAAGUCAAUAGAAUUUUCUACUCUUUUAGUUUUGUUCAAUUAGUAGUACAAAUUAAUGCAUGGAUAUUUGGGUAGUACAUGUAGAAAUCAUCAAAGGAACUUGGAGACUUAUAUUGAAAAUAUAAUGACAAAUCAAACUCUUAUUCUAAAAAAUAUAAUGGAUGCAGAUUGACAUCUUGGUUUACCCAAUAAUACCUAUAUACCCCACAAACACAUAUUGAUCCUAUAUAGAAUCCAUUUCUGGCUAAAAUUACAGCCCACCAGGUAGUUUUUGUUGGUCCAAUAUAUAGUUCUAGCAUGAUAAUAGUACUUCAUAUUUCAUAAAUAACAGAAUAAAAGGAAAAUAACCAAAGGGAAAAGCCCUACGGUAAAUCCACAUUGUAUGCUAACAUGUCAUCAAAUAGAAUCAUAUUGCUUCUUCUUCUUUAUUGGGGCUAAGGUGUCUUGUACUCUAAUUUUUUUAGUAUUUAUUGUUUGCCCAUAUUUAGCAUAUAUAUAGGUAAGGAUUUGCUUUUUCCCAAAGCACGCCACUAUAGGAACACCUUUACUUGUCCACAGAUGGAGCACUAGCAGUUUGGGUCCCAGGAAUCCAUCAUUAACUAUAAUAACAGAUUAACUUUUUGCUACUCUAAAGUCUAAUAUAAACUACAAAUUUUCCAGCUUUUCAGCAGUAGGGUCUAGAAUCAAGUAUGGUUUAACAUAUAAUUUAUUAAUUUAACAUAUAUUAACGGUUAUAAUUGCUAUCUUAACAUUGUUUCUUCCUCUAGAUACAUCACCAGAUUCUGUCACCAGGAAGAUAAUAAAAAGAAAAAUAGAGCAGGGCAAGCAAUUGCAACAGAAAAAGCUGCUGAUUUCCACCGGACCGACCAAGGUAACAUGGUUCAUGGACUAUGGUACUUCUGGGAUCAGCUAGAAGUCAAAAUUUUGAGAACUUGUUCUAGAAAGUAAGCAUCACACUAACAAUAAUUUUAAAAAGCAUAUUGUUAUUUAAGAUUUUUUUCUUAUCCCAAGUUCAGACUCAGACUGUUUCUUCAUCUACAUCUGAAGCAUUAAAAAGUUAUAGAGUCUGCAAAGAGGCCACAUAUACAGAAAGAAAAAUUUAACAAAUGGAAACCAAAAGACAUAGGAACCGAAGCAAAUCAGAGGACGGUAGUGAGUAUUUUAUUGAUGAAAAGUAAACAAUUUUUUUCUUAGUCAUCAUGACAGUAUUGUCAGGGACAGAAUUAAAAUAAUAAGCAUUCGAAUACUGCCAAAGCUUAAGCCAACACAAAAGUCAAAUAAAGCUAAAUAGCCAGCCCCUUACAACAUCAAUCUUGUUAGCAAGUCAGUUUGACACUAUGUAGCAACCUGUUUGAGUCUUAUCACUUGUUUUCUAAGUGGGAAUUAUAAAAAAAUGACAAAGACUUGUUAGUUCAUUAGUAAUUUCUUUCAAAUAAAGCCAUGUACAUCUUCUUUCAUGUUUAACCCCCCCACCCAACACACAACAUUGCUAAGAUUCCAAUCCAAGAUAUUUUCAAAACAAGACAAAAUCCCAAAAAAGAAAAAAAGUAGAGAUAUUGGGCAAGAAAAAGAAAGAAAAGAAAACCUCAAAAUAGAUGUGAUCUGAAUCAGGACUAGUGCCUUGAGCAGGCAAACCAAGACCAGCACCAAUGUCAGCAACGGCAGGUUCAAGCUCCUUCAUGGAGAGUUUGCCAUCUCUGUCUUUAUCCAACUCAUCAAACUUAUGGUCCACAAAGUUGCUGAAAACUUGCUCGUUUCCAACUAACUCCAUAAUCUUGGAACCAUCCACAAUCUCUCCCUUCCCACCAUUUUUUCUCUUACUCUCCAUUGUUUCUGAGUGGUAAAGGUAACACACUAACACAGUAACACCCUUUUCUUUUGCCUGUGUUUGGUUUAUUAAUGAGUUUAAGCACAGUGGAGGAGCAGGAGGAAGGAAAGGAAGAA